RNAcentral lists this long non-coding RNA (49466 nucleotides) under Gossypium barbadense (sea-island cotton). RNAcentral's name for it is "long non-coding RNA (GBAR_LNC007717)". The stretch from base 45579 to 45943 matches the Rfam family "Bacterial small subunit ribosomal RNA", at positions 934 to 1327 of the family's 1533-position model. Lineage: Eukaryota; Viridiplantae; Streptophyta; Magnoliopsida; Malvales; Malvaceae. The record is from RNAcentral.
AACCCAACACUUUAAUAUCAAAGCACAAAAGUAAACCCCUUAAACCCACAGCUAUAUAUUAAUUAAGAAGGUUUUUUUUUUUUAAUUAAGCUGCCAAAUUCCUAAUGGCCUAAACAACUUUAGCAGUCUCCUCUAUGAGCAGGCGCAUGUUAGGCAAAAACUUUAAGUAAUCACUUAAAAUCAAACCAUUUGUCUCUAAUAAUAAUUGAACAAAAAAUAAUUGCACAAUGUGGUUGCCAUAAUUAAAGGGUUGCUUUUUAUUCAUUGCUCAUUUAACCAAGCCACUAAGAUGCAUUUAUUUGGUAACAAGAAAUCUUAAGAAUCUUUCUCUUUUUAUUUAAACCAUGGAUUAAGUCUUUGAAAUGCUAAGUAUGAAGCAAAUUACAUUUAUAUCUUAUACAAAGGGGUUUCAUAUUUCAAUCUCCACCAUUCUUUAGUUUUAUCUUUUUGGGAAAAAAAAGUCUUUUUGUUGGUUUUUUUUUAUGUAAUUAAAGGCGUACAUGAUUGGGUCAAAUUUAAAUUGGGUUCAUAUACAAUAUCAAUAUUAUAUAUACUUAUUUAAGUUUAACUUGAAACAGUCGAUUGAGUGGGUAUUGUUGUCAAUGUAAGAGGACGUGGGUUUGAGUGUGUUGAAAUGCAUUAUCCUUCUAUUUAUAUGUUGAAGUGGGGCUAUGGGUAGUUCUAAGCAUUAUGUCAAAAAAAUCAAAUAUGAUUAGAAGGACAAAACCUAUAAAAAAAGUCCAUGUAAAAAUUAAAGAAAUGAAUACAUACAUUAAUUUUCAUAUUGGAUUAAUACAAUUGUUUCUGUAUGCAAUAUACUAACAUAAAUGGUAAUAAUUCGAUAACAUUGUCAAUGAUUUGUGAAAAUUGAAUUAAAUCAAAAUUUCAUGUAUAAAAUUGUACAAAAUCGAAGUUCACGUAUGAUAUUACACAUUAGAUUAAAGUUUAUUAAUAGUUUUCAUAUUUAUCCCUAAAUUUUGUUUAAAUUUGUCUAUAUUUAUAAAUGACUAAUCCAAGCCUAUUUAAAAUUAUUCAUUUUAAUAUAUAUUUUAUAUAUUUGUAUAUUUUUUAUUAAAAUUUUAACAAUAAACAAGUUAUUUGCUUAACAAAUUUUUAAUUUUAUAUUAUAAUAUUAUAUUUAUUUUUUAUAUAAUACAAAUUACAUUAUGUAUAAAAAAUAAAAUAAAACCAAUAUAUCAUAAAAUUGAAAAAUUAGUUGAAUUUGAAUGGACUUAAAUUUGAAUAUUUGAACUUAAACCUAAUCUAUAUUUAAAACGAGCCAGGUUUUUUAUCCAAAUAUAUUUUUUAAAUUGAAUACUUUUGUACAAAUCUUAACAUAACAAUAUUUAAAUGAAUAGCUAUCUCUUUAACAAAUGUAGUUGUAAUGUAUAAAAAAUCAUAUUAAAAAUUUCACUCAAAAAAAUUAAAAAUUUUGAGUUUGUUUAUAUUAUUUCUAGGGAAAUUAUUAGUAUAUUGCGAGUGAAGUUUUUAAAUUCUAAAAUAUCAUAAAGUUAAUAAAAUAUUUAAAAAAUAUUUUAAAAAAGAGACACAUGUUAUAUUUUUUAAUCUGUGAAAUAAAAAAAAAUGUACUGUCAAUGUGUUAAAUACUUCUCUUAUUUCUGUACAGUCCUUAAAAUUUUUAACUAAAUUAAUGUUUUAAAUUAAUUGAGUAUUAAUUCAAUUAGAAAUAUAUAAAAAAUCAUUUUAUAUACAAAGUAAUUUAUAUUAUUAGGUGAUUUUUUUAUAUUUAUGUAUAAAAUUAAUAAAAAUUCACGGAUAUAUUUUUGAACUUCCAACAUUACUAUUUCGAGUAAAACUUUACUCAAAAUUUACAUAAUAUUUUAAUAAAUAUAUUUUUUAUUGUUAUUUAAUUCAACAAAAAUUAAAAAAAGGGGCCAAAAUAAUGGGAGCAUAAGCUUCCCAUGAACAAGAUUUUUGUUCUCUUUGUCGAACUCUCUUAGAUUGCUGAUAUUGUCGGCACUGAUUUUUUGUUCUUCGUAUUUAUUUCAUAAAAAAAAAGACAAUAAACAACAAAUAAAAUAAAAUGUCAAUCAAUCUGGUUAAUAAGAGUCAAAAUCCAGCACUAAAACAUAUGAAAAAAGGCAUCCCACGUGAUUAAGAAUUACCUACUUUAUUUAAUUCUCAUUUUAAUUAUCAAUAUUCUUUUUCUUCUUCAAAUCUUGAACCUACAAAUCUUCUUCUUCACGAUCCAAUUCACAUUCCCAUUUUUCUUUUUAAACUUUAAAUCUAAAUAAAUAAUAAACGAAAACAAAGGGGCCAAAACAAUAAAAGAAAAUUUUCAAAAGAAAGAAAAAAAAAAAGUUCUUGGCUAUUUAGUUUUGGGUUGUUACUUGAUUACUAGUUUUGUUUUUAAAGGUACAAUCUUUAAUUAAAGAAGGGCUUUGUUUGAAAAGAAACAGAGAUGGGUGGUGUUGUUGCUGUCGAUGGCUUGUUGUCUCUUUGCUUUUUUUCUCUUUGGAAAAACAAAAGGUGAGCCUUUUUUUGACUGAUAAACUUGAGAUGGAAUUCAUUAUACUGUCAUUUCUUUUGUAGAGUUUUUUGAUUGUUCAUUGCUUGAAUUUCUACAUUUUUUUCUGGGUAAUUUUAUUGUCGCAUUGUCUAUAAUCUAUAAUUGAGAAAUUUGAUUGGCUUUUUUAUGAGAAUUUUAAAAUGAGGUUAGUGAAAUAUUGGUGGGUUUUUCAUAUUAUUUAAUAAUCGUUUGUUUUAUGUGGCAAAAAUCUUGAAAUUUACUGUUUUUGGAUUGUAAUUUUUGCACUGAUCAUCAUAUUGUAUCAUGUAACCUAGUUAUGAAAUUUGUGUAUUCUUUGGAUCUUGUAUUUAAGUUCUGUUGAUGUUUUCUUUUUUGGAUUCUUAUGGCUAUUUUGUUGCCCUGCUUGAAGAUCUUGGAUAGUGGUGAAACACUAUGAGGAGCAACAUAAGGAUUAAAAAGCCGAGACGAGGCGGAGUUUGGCGGGAUUUGGGGCAGAAAAUGAAGUGUUUAUGCGCCGGAGAGAAAUUAAUCAAAGUAGAACAGAUGAUACCUCCAUCAGAAUCCCUUGCCGUAGAAGAUCAUUCACUGUGUGGUCAUUCUUCUAAAUUCAGUAAUGGUGAGAACAAACCAGAUACCGGCAACAUAGAAGAAGCUGAAUUGUCACUGCGUGAGAGUAGUUCACUGAAUUACGAGGUUUGCUUCUUCAUUUCUUUCUGGUUAAGUUAAACAUUCGGAAUAAGUUUGUUGUUUAUAAGUCCUUGGUGGUGGCACAUUGGUUUUCCUAUACAUCUAUCGAAACUAACCCAAUGGCUUCUCGAAUCUGGUUUUCGGUACAUUUUAGGUCGAUUCAUGCAUUUAUUAAGGAGUUUUCUGAUCUUCUCAUUCUGUUCUAGGAACUUUCAUGCGGUAUAAAUAUGUAUUGUUUAGGCUUCUAGUAGUAGUUUAACUUUAAAUGCGUGUGAUAUAUGUUGUCUCUCUGACUGGUAACCCGAUUAACAGUUAGGACGGUUAUAAUUAUGGUCAUUCCUGCCUUUGCGUUUAUCGGUUUUAUUUACUUUUCUUGCAAGCUAAGGUGUCUUCGCUAUGCAGGAAGCUAGAGCAUUGCUAGGAAGAAUCGAAUAUCAGAAAGGAAAUAUUGAAGCUGCACUACAUGUGUUUGAAGGAAUAGAUAUCGCCGCAAUAAUUCCCAAAAUGAAACUCAGCCUUACUCGAAAAGUUGAAAGGCGUAAGAGACAAUCUCAUGAUUAUGCUCCUCCCCCAAUGUCUGUUCAUACCAUUAGUUUACUGCUAGAAGCAAUCUUUCUCAAAGCACAAUCAUUGCAACAUCUCCAAAGGUUUCGAGGUAAGGGUAAUGAUUUAUGUAUUUGUGCACCGAUCUUACAUUGGCUUUGUUUGUUUUGUUAUAUUUGUGAUCAUUCUUGCAGAAGCUGCUCAAACCUGUAAAGUUAUUCUGGACGUAACAGAAUCUUCGUUACCGGAUGGCUUGCCGGAAAACUUUGGUGCCGACUGUAAAUUGCAGGAGACUCUAAACAAGGCAGUUGAGUUGCUUCCGGAGUUAUGGAAAUUAAGUGAUUCUCCAUUUGAAGCAAUCUUGUCUUACAGGUGGGCGCUUCUUCAUAUAUGGAAUCUUGACGUGGAAACUACUGCAAGGAUUCAAAAACAUUUUGCCGUUUUUCUCCUGUAUUGCGGAGAUGAAGCUUGCCCCCCAAACCUCCGCUCGCAAAUGGGCAGUUCAUUUGUCCCAAGGAAUAACAUAGAGGAGGCUAUACUGCUCUUAAUGAUUCUAUUAAGAAAAGUUGCUCUAAAAAGAAUCGAAUGGGAUCCAUCGAUUUUGGAUCAUCUAUCUUUUGCUCUCUCCGUAUGCGGUGAUUUAAGGGCUUUGGCUAAGCAAAUAGAAGAACUGCUUCCGGGGGUAAUUAAUCGCAAAGAAAGAUACCGUAUUCUAUCUCUCUGUUACCAUGGAGCAGGUGAAGAUUCGGCUGCUUUGAUUCUACUCCGAAAAUUGUUGAACAGUAACGAGGAUCCACGUUGUGUUCCAGGAUUGAUGAUGGCAUCAAGAAUUUGCGGGGAAAAACCUAUUCUUGCGGAAGAAGGGAUCAGUUUUGCUCAUAGAGCCCUUGAAAGCCUGGAGGAAGAAUGCAAUGAAUUGGAAGGUACCAGUAACUUUUUAUUGGGUGUGGCUUGUUCAAUGCAUUCGAAGUCCGUCUUAUCCGAUUUUGAAAGGGUUGCAAUACAGUCCGAGGCCCUCCAGGCUUUGGAAAGUGCUUGGAAAAUCACAAACAUGAAAGAUCCCAGUAUUCUUUAUCAUCUUAGCCUGGAAAAUGCCGAGCAGAGAAAGCUGGGAGCUGCACUUUAUUAUGCAAAGUCUUUGUUAAAACUAGAAGGUGGUUCUAACAUUAAGGGAUGGCUGUUAUUGGCUCGUAUAUUGUCAGCUCAAAAACGUUUCGUGGAUGGUGAAAUUGUUCUUGAUGCUGCCUUGGAUCAAACUGGGAAAUGGGAUCAAGGAGAAUUGUUGCGCACCAAAGCUAAGCUUCAAAUUGCACGGGGACAACUCAAGAAUGCCGUUGAGACGUAUAGUCAGCUUCUUGCCCUUCUUCAAGUACAGUGUAAAAGCUUUGUUUUGGGGAAGAAGCUUCAUAAGGUCUGUUACGCGCCUAGCAUUCUUUCUGUUUCCUAUAUUUUAACUGGUUUUGAAAUGGCCUAUUAGCGUACGAAUGAGGGAAGCUACGAUUGCCAGUUUUUAAACUUAUUAUGUCCAUUUCAACUUACUAAAAGCUCUUUAUGUUCUUAGAACAUUAAACCCAAGUUUGCAUUGUAUAAUGCCUCUUUUUUUCUGUCAUGUUUCGGGUGAAAAUAUUUUCAGGGAAACAACCUUUAUAGCAACUAAUCUUUUUCAAAUAAUUGUGUACAGGAUCAUAGAUACUCUUUGACAAGUUUCGAACAAGAAAUAUGGCAUGAUCUAGCAUAUCUCUACAUAAGCUUGUCACAAUGGAGAGAUGCCGAGAUUUGUCUUUCAAAAUCAAAAGCUAUAAGUUCUUACUCCGCCGUUCGAUUUCAUGCCACUGGUAACUUUAUAAACUUCCCUAAGAUUUUUAUUCUAUUGGUAUAGAUAGUUAAUUCUAGAGAUUUUAUUUUCCAGGUGUACUGUAUGAGAGAAAAGGCUUGCUAAAAGAAGCUAUGGAGGCGUUUCGGACUGCGCUGGACAUCGAUCCGGAUCAUGUCCCGAGCAUGAUAUCUGCUGCUGCUGUGCUCAGAAGAGUCGGUGGCCAAUGCAAUGCGGUCAUAAAAAGCUUGCUGAUGAACGCUCUUCGGGUCGAUCAAAUGAAUGGGUUGGCAUGGUAUAAUCUUGGUUUGCUUCAUAAAACUGAAGAAGUUGGUUCAUCAAUGGAAGAAGCGGCUGAAUGUUUUGAGAUUGCUGCCAUUCUUGAAGAGUCAGCUCCUAUUGAGCCAUUCAGAUAAUUUUGACAGCUAUCCAUUGUUGGUAAAAGUAUCGUGAAGGUCCUUGUACUAAGAGUCGAAUUGCAUUUUGCCCCCUCUGUUCAAUAAAUAGGCAAACUAGUUCCUGUACAUUAUAUUAAAGAUCAAAUUGGUUAUUUUUGUUAAAAAUUUAUCCUUUUGUACUGUUAAAAAUGCGUGUACCUCGUGUUGACGUACAAGAAUUAUUUUUUAACAGCAAAAAUGGAUGAAACUUUUAACAUAAAGACUAGUUUACUCUUUGAUCUAAUAUACAUAGAGCAAUUUACUCAUUUUUUGAGUAGAAAAGUAAAAUGCAAUCUAACUCCAUAAUAUUUUUACCCAUUGUUCUAUGUUGUGCUUAAUUUACUAUCAAAAUAACAUUUUUUUGGUCAUUACAUACGAAAGACUUUAUUUUUUUGAAACCCUCACACUUUUUGGGCUUAUAUUUUUUCGAGUUUAUAUUUUUGUCUAAAUAUUUUUACUUUUUGGAUGGGUCUUUGGGUCGGAUUGGAUGGUCUGUCCUAUGAACAAGUCUAUUUGAGAAUGAUUUAUAAUCUUUCUUUCGAAACAAAAAAAAUCUCCCUUCUAAUAACUUCUUGUAAUUGCCAUUAUUUUCGAAGUUCAUAAUUGGUCUAAAUAUUAGUUCAUUAUGAGGGAACGGUACUUCAAUUGUGAAUUGUUUAAUCUAAGAAUUCGAUAACAUCACCUAUAAAUCACAAACAUUCGAAUUUGCUCGAAUUAAAAAAAAUUCGAUAUUUCGUAUGGAAUAUAUUUCGAACAUUGAAGAAUGAUUUGGCCAAUUAAUAUUUUGAAAUAUCUCUCCAUCAAAUUGAAAUGAUAUUAUCUUUUUUUUUUUUGAAAUACUCUUUUUCUAAUAUGUACCAAUGAAAAGCUCCCUUGAAAAAUGCAUUGCUUUAGAAUGGAGGCAUUAAAAUCCACCUUAACUUUACUAUUUUAAUCGUUUUCUAUGAAUUCAAGUUAUGUCAUACCCUUACUCGCGUUAAGACAUAUGAGAAGUAAAAAAAAACACCUAUAUAGUAAGUUUGUCACUAGCAAGCUGAGAGGUCACUAUUAAGAGAAUGCUAUAAAAUAUGUCAUGACUCUAAAGAAUUUAUUCUUGGCUUUGGAUUUAGUCAUAAAUUGAAUAACUAAAGGUGGUAGGAUUCCGGAUCCAAAUUUAUAGUCUAAACACGAACUCAUAGGAAGUGAAGAAAAUAGCAAGUGAACUCAUAGAAGUCAGAGUCAGGGUGGCUUUUGGUGCUUCCAUUCCAAAGAAAUGCGUUUCUCAAUGGAGUUUUUUAUUAGCAUGUGGAUUGAAAGGACGAAAAAUACCGUCGUUCAAAAGAUUAAUCGUAUCGUUUCAAUUUGACGAGGAGGUAUUUCAAGAAAUUGAUUUACAGGAUAUUGGAAUUGCUUUUCUUUGAUUCAAGUAAAUGCGACUGUUAAUAAUUUUAUGGGCGAUGAGAGACUAUGGGUUAUCGAAGUCUUGACUUAAACAAUUCAGAAUUGAAGUAGCAAUCCAAAUCCCACAUGGCCAGCUGAUUCCAGUUUCCCGUCUGGUUAUGAACUUUGACUUCAUCUUGUCCUUCGAAACAGGAAUCGAAGACCUGUUUGGUAUAACACAAAAACCAAGCGAAUUGAGAGGCUACCAGAGAUAUUAUCACAAGGGCGAUUGAUUCGUUACAAGGAAAGCUUGGUUUCAUUGCCUAUUUGAGAGGCGACAAGAGGUAUCUUCACAUGGGCGAUUUAUUUCUUGUUUUAGAAAAAAAAAAUAGUUGUGUUGUUUUUGAAUAAUGAAUUUAAAUUUACAAAUAGGAUUAGUCAUUUUAAUCGAUUGGGUCUUAACUCGGUUGGUAUCAAUAUUGUUGUCAGACAGGAGGAGGUAAGUUCGAGUGCAUUUAUCCUCUUAUUUACGGAUAAGAAAAGAUUAUGGGUAGUUUUAAACAUUAUAUUUAAAAAAAAAAGUUAAAUCAAUACUAGAAGCCUAAACUAUACCAUUGUAAAUAAUACAUGUCACCAUAUUGACAUAUUAAAACUGUAUGAAAGUUCCUACAAUAGAGUGAGAAGAUAGUAAAACUCCUUAAUAGAGGCAUGAAUUGACCUAAGACAUACCAAAAACUAGAUUUGAGAACCCAUUAUACUAAUUUCGAUAGACAUAGGAAAACUAAUGUGCCACCACCAAGGACUUAUAACCAACAAAUAUAUUUUGAAUGUUUAAAUUAACCGCAAAGCUGAUUGAGUCUUAAUUCGAUUGGCAUGAGUGUUGUUAUCAAUGCAAGAUGAUGCGGGUUUGAUUAUGUUGAAGCACAUUAUCCUCCUAUCUAUGGGAUAGGGGAGGAGCUAUAGGUAAUUAUAGGCAUUGUGUAAAAAAGAGUAGAUAUGAUCAGAGUUUACAAUGAGAUUGUUCAAAAAAAAAACUUAGCCGCAAAGAAUUGAAGAAGCAAACCUCGUACUUUAGUGAACUACUCUCACGCAACAACAAUUCAAUUAAGUUUAUAUUUUAAUCAACCAACUUCAAAAAGCUAUAAAAUGAUUACAAAACUAUUCAAAAGUUUUCAUUUAAGUCACUAAACUAUUCAAAAAAAUUUAUUCAAGUUAUUGGGCUGUAAGGUUUUUUUUUAAAAAAAAUAAAAGUCUGGGUAGUGAGCUCCAAGCAACGACUUAACAGUCGAUAUGGUAGAUCAGUGCCCAUCAACGAAUAGAACAACAUAUCUUAGAAAGUUGUUUAGAUUUUGGUUCACAAAUUUGUGACGUUUAAAAGUUGUUUCAUAAAAAAAAAACUUAUAUUGUAAAAGAAAAAAAGAAUGAGAGUUUUCGAUUGGUGCAAGUAGUACAAACAAAAAAGGCCAUACAACAUCAAUUUUAACGAUCUGAUAAUUUAAAUGAACACUUUCGAAUAGCUUAAUGAUCAUUUUGUAACUUUUUAAAACUAUGUGACCGAAACAUAAAUUUAUUAAUAAUUUAAUAAUAUUUCGCAUAAUUUUAGUUCAAAAUUCUUAAGAUUAGGUGCUAGAGAUUCAAUAUCAUACUUAUUUUGAAAUUGUUUAACAAUUUCUAUAACUAAUACUUUAUUUUAUACAAAACUUUAAUAUUUGUAUGUAUUUUUAAUUAGAUUAGAUUACGUUAUUAUUUGUUUUUUUUUCUUAGGUCUGUGAUUGACCAAGACUUGCACUAAAUGUUGUUUAUUGCAAUGUAAAUUGACCCACCAAAUUAUUGUUGUCAAUCAAAUUAAAGUACAUUGGACUGAUUGUGAAAUUAACUUUGUUGAAAUAUAAAAAUUAAUAGUUACGAUAAUGAUUAUUUUAGGCGUGGUUUAGAUUUGAAUCGCACUAAUUACAUUGUUAUUAAAAUUUUAUCCUUUUUUAUUAAAAAAAUUAUUUUUAAUUAAAAAUUCUCCCAAGUAUAUUGAAUGUAUAAAUACAAAUAAUUUUAGAUUAUAUUAUAAUUACGAUGUAAAUAAAAUAAAAUUUAUAUAAAUGUUAUUAAAUAAAAAGAAAUAAAGAACAAAGAAAAAUAUGGAAAGUAAAAGACAACUUAUUUUAUUGAUUAAUAGAGAUAUUUAAAGUGUUGUUUUAAAAUCUAUAUUUAUAGAUAUAAAAAGUAUACAUGAUAUAAAAUUCUACUUUAAAUAAUCAUUAAAGUCCUGAUAUAUAUCAAACUUAUUUUGAUAUUGAUGGACAUUCACUUAAUAAUAAAAUAUGUAUAGCACUCCCCAUUCGAUGUCUAUUGAUAGAUAAUAUGUCCCGUUAAAACCUUAUUACGAUGAAAAUUUUGUGGGAAAAAAAACUCUUAGUGAAAGAAAAAAUAGUACACUUACCUAUAAUAUGCAUAACAUGUUGUCUUACUAAAAAUCUUAUCAAAAAAAAAUCUAGUGGAACAAAAUCUCGAUUAAGAGAAAAGUAGUACAACAUGUAUUUACUCCCCUCAUAACAACAUCACAUAAUAUAUCAUAUUCUACGUAUUCAAAUAUUAAAUGCUAGCAUUUCAAAUAUAGGCCCGACCCUAAGGGUCAUCUGGAGGUGAGGCCAUCUAGGGCCCAAAGCUGAAAGAGGUCCAAAAUAUUGUUUUCCUGUUUUUAAGGGGCCUAAUUUUUUUUUAACUUUCAAAGCUCAAAAAAAAUUCACCAACUUUUAAGGGGCCCCCCAAAAAAUUUUAGCUUUUAAGGGUCAAAUUUUUUUUUACUAACUUUGAAGGGACCUAAAAAUUUAAUCCUUUAGAAAUUAUAAACUAUAAAAAAUUAAAAUUUCAUCCCGGCCCCCCUAAAAAAAUUUUCUGGCUUCUCCCCUGAUGACAUUCAAAAUUGUUUCAUGAAAAAAAUGAUCAGUAGAAGAGAAGGUGAAAGAGAGCUUUCGACUGGAGUAUGCAGUGCGAACGAAGAAGGCUAUACAGUAACGAUUUUAACAGCCCAAUGAAUUAAAUGAACAAUUUCAAAUAGUUAAAUGGCCAUUUUAUAAUGUUUCAAAGUUGAAUAGCUAAAACAUAAAUUUACCCUAUAAAUCAUCUUAACAAACCAAGUGUGAACACAGCUACAGUGACGUAAAAACGGUUUAAAAAAUUGAUCCAAACAAGACAAGCACAAGGGAUGAAAAUUUUACAACUGCUAAAUAUUAUCUCUAUAAGAAUAGGAGAAAUUAAUUAUUAGGCCAAAAUUAUCACAAAUAUGAAAUUAGUGGCCCAUGAAAAAUAUAAUUGUAAAUGUUAAUAUGUCAGUAUCAUAAUUGCAGACAAAAAUGGUAACUAUAGCUGUUCAAAGUAGGCUGUUCUAAACAUAGUUUAUGUGGUAAAAAAAAAAGAAGAAGAAGGUUUAAAUAUGCCCUCGGACUUGUACUCCUCAGGCUUUUACAAUUUAAUCCCUCUAGUUUUUAUUUAAAAAACUUAAUCCUUUACUUUGAACGGACCUGUACUCUUUAAGCUUGUACAAUUUAAUUCCUCUACUUUUGUUUUUAAAAACUUAAUCCUUUGCUUUAAUUGUUAAUAGAUUUUUUGUUGCAAUAUUUUAAUUCUGGUUUUAAAAUUAAAAUCCAAUUCACAAGGUAUAGUCAAAUUUAACUAAAAAUUCAGUUAAAAAUAUUAAUAAUUGGAGUUUAGUUUUGGCUUAACUACAAAAUUAGUCUCCAAAUUAUACCACUUUCUCACUUAGGUACCUAAAGUUUUUUUAUUUAGAAGUGAUAUUUAAACUAUUAAUUUCGUCUUAUUUUACACACAAAAAAAAAAUGUACAACGUCCAAUAAGGUCGUACACAUUUCACAUUCUUAUUGGCUGGUAUCAUGUUUUAGGGUAAAAUAAGACGAAAUUGAUAGUUGACCAAAAAAACUUAGUUACUUAAACUGAAAAAAAUGGUAUAGUUUGAGGACCAAUUUAGCAUUUAAGCCUUUAAUGUUUAAACCAGACAAGUAAAUGGAUUAAAUUUCGGAUAGUAUUGAGGUUGGAUGCAUCACCAAACAAUAAAAGAAUGAAAAAAGAAAUUGUAUAAAUUGAAUCAUAAAACUAGAAUUUAGUCCUUUAUAAAGGACAAACUUUGGUUAGAUAAAUCUCUUUAACAACCCCAAAAUAAUGUAAAUUAAUAUGAGACCAAUGAAAUGAAAAACUCACUUUUUUUUGCUACAGAAAUCCCAAUCAGUAGCAGCUAUAAAUAAGAGUGUUAAUGAAGAACAACGAAACAAGUACAGAACUAAAUAAAACCCCAUGUCAACUAUUCAAAAGCUUUACAUUUUUGUUUGCCAUUUUAUGUUUCUUAGCUUAAAUCCUUUGAAUACUACCUUUUCUUCAGCAAGAUCACAAGGGGAAGCCCUUAUUCAUUGGAAGAACAGCUUGGUUCACUCUCCAACAUCUGUGGAAUCUUGGUCUGUUGAAAACAUUAACAACCUCUGCAACUGGACUUCAGUUGCCUGCGACGGUGCUGGCAUGGUGUCUGAACUAAACCUGUUGAGUUCAAACAUCAAUGGAACCCUCACCGAGUUAGAUUUCACUUCAUUUGCUAAUCUAACACGGUUUGAUGUCAAAAACAACAGUUUGAAUGGACCGAUACCUGGCGCCAUCGGUAGCCUGUCUAAGCUUGUUUACCUGGAUUUGAGCGACAACUACUUCAAAGGUAACAUACCCUCGGAGCUUGGACGAUUACCAGAGCUUCGAUAUCUCAACCUGUUUAACAACAAUCUCAAUGGUACAAUCACUUACCAAGUUAGCACUCUUCAAAAAUUGUGGUACUUAGACCUUAGCUGUAACAAGUUAGACUCACCUGAUUGGUCCAAGUUCUUAGCUAUGCCAUUGUUAAGACACCUCAGUCUAGCAAACAAUUCACUUACUUUGAGGUUCCCUGGUUUUAUACAAGAUUGUAGGAAUUUGACUUUCCUUGACUUGUCAGUGAACAACCUAACAGGGCCAAUACCAGAGUCGGUUUUCACCAAUUUGGGUCAGCUUCAGUAUCUUAACCUCACAAAUAACUCAUUCCAGGGACCAUUGUCACCAAACAUUUCCAAGCUUUCCAAGCUCAUAAACCUCCGUUUAGGAACCAAUAAGUUAAAUGGUCCAAUCCCUGAGAGUAUUGGGUUCCUUUCAGAUCUUGAAACCUUGGAAUUGUGUGCAAAUUCAUUUGAAAACAAGAUUCCAUCUUCUUUAGGCCAAUUAACAAAGCUCCAGAAACUUGAUCUUAAUUCCAAUAGAUUGAAUUCCACAAUUCCUUUUGAGCUUGGUUCUUGUUCUAAUCUCACUUUUCUGGCCUUAGCUGAGAAUAAACUUACUGGGGAAUUACCAUUGUCAUUGUCUAAUCUCGCCAAAAUAUCUGAGUUGGGGUUGUCUCAUAAUUUACUUUCUGGUGAGAUCCUACCUUCUCUUAUCAGUAACUGGACCAACUUGAUCUCACUGCAACUUCAAUUCAACUCUUUCACUGGAAAGAUACCUCCAGAAAUUGGCUUAUUGAGAAAGCUCAAUCUCCUCUAUUUGUUUAACAACAAACUAUCAGGACCGAUUCCUUCUGAGAUAGGGAGCUUGGAGAAUCUCACACAAUUAGACCUUUCAACAAACAAGCUUUCGGGCCCCAUUCCUCUGACUCUAUGGGGAAUGAAAAACCUGAAACGCUUGCAUCUUUUCCAAAAUAAUCUCAAAGGCACAAUACCAGAAGAUAUUGGUAAUCUGACAUCGAUCUUAUAUUUAAGCCUUGACUCGAACCGACUGUACGGUGAGUUGCCAGAGUCCAUUUCUCAGCUCACUAAUUUACAACGCUUUUCAUUGUUUAGCAAUAAAUUCUCAGGGAGAAUUCCUCAGGAUUUUGGGAGAUACAUUCCUCAGCUGAAUUAUGUUAGCUUUGCCAACAACACUUUCUCUGGGGAAUUGCCUCCUCAACUGUGUAGUGGCUUUGCUCUUGAAAUGUUUACUGUUAAUGGCAACAACUUCACAGGGUCAUUGCCAGCUUGCCUGAGAAACUGCAGUGGAUUAAAUAGAGUUCUUCUUGAUGGGAACCAAUUUACCGGUAGCAUUACGAAUGCAUUUGGAGUUCAUCCGAAUCUUAAAUUUAUUAACCUCAUGGACAAUCAAUUCAUUGGUGAAAUCUCGCCAGAGUGGGGAGAAUGCAAAAUCCUUACCAAUCUACGGAUGGACCGGAAUCGAAUUUCGGGUGAAAUACCGGCUGAGCUCGGAAAGUUGACAGAGUUGCAGUUGUUAACUUUGGACUCAAACAAGUUGACUGGGACCAUUCCAAGUGAGCUUGGGAAUUUGAAGAAGUUGUUUAAACUCAAUUUGAGCAACAAUCAUCUGUCAGGACCGAUACCUCGUAACAUCGGUGGUCUAUUGGAGCUUCAAUUUUUAGAUUUGUCCAAAAACAGCUUGACUGGAACAACACCAAAAGAGCUAGGGAACUGCAACAAGUUGUUGAGCUUGAACUUGAACCACAACAAGUUAUCUGGUGACCUUCCAAGUGAGUUAGGGAGCUUGGAUGUUCUUCAGUAUUCAUUAGACCUCAGCAGCAAUUCAAUUUCAGGGAAAAUUCCACCAGAGUUGGGAAGACUGAUUUCGCUGGAGAAUAUUAAUCUUUCACACAACAAUCUGUCUGGUGAAAUCCCGACCACGUUGCUCCAAAUGAUCAGUCUUUAUUCAUUUGAUUUUUCCUACAACGAGUUGACGGGUUCGGUUCCAAUUGCUGGUCCAUUCCAAAAUGCUUCCCAAGAAGCCUUUGCUGGAAACUCAGGAUUGUGUGCAAAUAUCAAAGGACUUCCUCCUUGUGGUUCAGUUUCAACUAGUAAGAGCUCGAGACAGCGUACUGUAAAGUUGGUUCUUGGUAUUACACUUCCUGUCUUUGGCAUAUUAGCAUCAACUGUGGCUGCAAUUUUCGCUUGUCGUCACCAAAGAAAUCAACUGGAUAAGGAAGCUGAAGGUAGAAAGUUCGAACAUUCUGAGUCAAUAUGGAACAAAAUAGAAAGAAGGUUCAAAUUUGGAGACAUAGUAAAAGCAACAGAGGAUUUCAAUGAAAGGUACUGCAUUGGGAAAGGAGGAUCAGGCAGUGUUUACAUAGCAGAAUUGCCUACAGGUCAAGUAGUUGCAGUUAAAAAACUCAAUAUACCAGACUCCAUUGACAUUGAAGUCAUCAAUCGGAAAAGUUUUGAGAAUGAAAUCCUUAUGCUAACAGAAGUUAGGCAUCGAAACAUCAUCAAGCUAUACGGGUCUUGUUCUCAUAAAGGGCUAAUGUACUUGGUUUAUGAGUAUAUGGAAAGAGGAAGCUUGAAAAGUGCAUUGUAUGGAGAAGAAGGUGGAGUUGAGCUAGGCUGGGCUAAAAGGGUGAAAAUUGUGCAAGGAUUGGCUCACGCGGUUGCUUACCUGCAUCAUGAUUGUUCCCCACCUGUCAUACACCGAGACAUAUCUUUGAGUAAUGUUUUGUUGGAAGCUGGAUUUGAGCCAAAACUUUCAGAUUUCGGAACCGCGAGAUUGUUGGAUCCCAAUUCAUCCAAUUGGACGGCUGUUGUUGGGUCUUAUGGCUACAUGGCUCCAGGUUAACACUAUAUGAUUUCUGCAUUCUUAUUUCACAUACUGUCUGAAUAACACUAAAGUUUUUUCUUUUUGUUUACCUGGAAUGUCUAGAGUUGGCACUCACCAUGCGGCUGACAGAUAAAUGCGAUGUUUAUAGCUUUGGAGUAGUGGCAUUAGAGGUAAUGAUGGGAAGACAUCCAGGGGAACUCUUGAAUCCCCUAUCAUCAUCUUCUUCGACAUUGUCACCUGGAAAUACAGAAAUGUGUUUGAAGGAUUUGCUAGACCAACGACUCCCACCACCUACGGGCAAAAUAGCAGAGGAAGUUGUAUUCAUUGUCAGAAUGGGUUUGGCAUGCACAAAUAUCGAGGCAGAGUCGAGACCAACCAUGCGUUUGUUGGCACAAGAACUAUCAGCACGAACACAGGCUUGCCUGAGUGAACCAUUAGGAAGUAUAACUGUUAGCAAGCUAACCGGAUAUCAGAAGUAGAAAGGAAGUAAAACUAAUAAGAAGGCUAAAAUUUUCUGUGGGAAAAUGAAUGGCCAAAAUCCUAUAUCACAUAGGAAGAUGAGCUUUGUUUCUAAAUGUUUGUACCUAGUCAAUAAGUUGGAUUGUCAGGUUCCAGUUCCCCAAGAAAUUAGCAACCAUAGGCAUCCUUAGGUGGCCUUACAGGCUUGGCAUAGUGGAUCACUGUUUUAAACCCUUUCUGCUAGUAAAUGUCAGCUUUCAUAUUGCAAUUGUGUUUGUCUCUUGGCCAAUAAUUGUUUCGUUUGUCCAAUCUUCUAUUCAUCUGUACCGACAAUGAAAUGAGUCUGAAAUGGUUCCUGCAGAUGAAGGAUCUAUGUCUCAAUGGAAACAUGAGGAAACAGUUGCGAAUUGCAACAUCAGGAAAGAAACUUGAACAUAUUGUUUGAUCAAAAUCCCUCAGAAACAUGUUAAAGGGGAAUAAUAGCAUUGGCAGCACUUGCAAUUCUAGGCCACAGAUCAGCACUCCUUUCUAAUGGGACCAAUGAUAGCAGAUCCUGAAAAACAUCAAAUCAAGUAUCCCAAAUAAGUUCCAAAGCAUCAAAUCAAAGAACAUAUCACUUUCUGCCACUAAACAACAAACCAACAAUGAAGGCAUCGAUGGAACCAGCCUAACAAAUUUCAUUACAUCUAUGGCCACCAAAAAUGCAAAGAAAAACAUAUUUUCAAGUAAUGUUUUGGGAAACCAUACUUAUAGAAAAGAAAACUAACAUUCCCCAGGUUUUAUGUUAACUUCGAAGAAUAGAAAUCAGGUUCUUUAAGUGAAUGGUCACAGUCAUAGAGGCAUGUUCACCUUCUUGGAAUUUAGAAAUACCAGGCAUAUCAACAAGGUUUCACAUCUGAUAUUGCAAGAACAAGUGAACCAGAGAGAUCCCAAUGCCAAAAAAACUUCAUUUGAACAUAGCUCAAAGAAACAUAAACAGCUAAAUUUUAGCAUUUUAACCCCACAAUUCAACAAACACUGUUAUUAUAAUCGAAUAUAAAAAAAUAGAAUGAAGAAGAUGAAUUGGUUGGUAUACCUUUCAUUAUCUUCAAACAGAUGAAUAAAACCCAAAUUAAGCUGUGAAAUACGUAGUAAAAAAGAAUAGCACCAUGCUGUUUAAACCUAGCAAAUUAUCAUUAUUUUAUGCUUCUCAUUAAGUGUAACCAACAAUCAGAACCAGCAACAAAAGGCAAAUCGAAGAAACAAAACUUCAAGAAGAAGGAAACCAUUUGGGCCUUCAAAGUACAUGUAAACGCCGUCGUUUCUACGCCAAGGUUUGCGGCUGUCGGACGAUGACAGCUGGCAGACCUUUUUUGACGUUGGCCGUUACCACGUCGCCGACACAAGCUGAUGCGAGCAUGCUGAGACGCCCUUUGAUUCCUUUCACUGAAAUUGAUAAUUUUUUGGACAAACCUUUUGUUAGUCCCUGUACUUUUACAAAAUUUAAAAUUUAGUCCCUGCUGUUGUCACUGCUGCAACAUGAAGCACAUGGUCAAAUCAACCAGCUAUUACAACUGUUAUCUGUUAGUUUGUUAUUAGCUGUUAGUAUUUAAUUGUUGACUGAGCUAUGACUAAGUUUAUCUAUAAUAGUAAUUGAUAUAAUGCUUUCAAAUUCAUUUUUUACAUUAGGGUAUAAAUUAGACAUUGAUACUCACAAACCAUUUUGAGUUUUACUUGAAAAAAAAAUUAAACUUGAUUAUGCAAUUACAAGAGCUCAAGCUAUCAGUUGAGCUAAAUUCAAGUUUAGUAAUAUUUGAUUCGAACUGCUCGCGAAUCUUAUCAAACUUUUCAUAUUUUUAUAUUAUUAAAAUAUAUUAUUAUCCUUAAUAUAUAUUAUUAACCUUAAACUUAAUUAUUAAGUCAAGCUCGAGCUCAAGUAGUUCAAUUAUAUUUCAAGCCGAGCUAGAGCUUUAAAAUAAAUGUUCGAUCGAGCUUAAAUCAAAUAUCAAGUUUUAAAUUUUGAGUCAAAUUCGAGUUUGACAAAAUUCAAGCUUAACUCGAUCAUUACACCCCUAAGUUACAUAUCAUUUUCUCUCUUUCAAGUUUCUUUCGAUUCAUUCCUUCCUAGAGAGUUUUCCUCUUUUGUUGUUGAUCUAAUAGUUAUUUUUUCUUUGCACAAUUACUGAGAGUUUAACAUGGUACUAGAACUAUCAUUAGUCUGAACAAAAACUUUUUUGUUGGUAUAUCACCAUAUUUUAAGAUCAACCUUCACACACCAAUGCACAAAUGAGAAAUAACUUACGUAUAGUUUAAGGAUAAUAGCAAAAUUCCCCUCGAGACUUCACAAGGAGUCGAUGUCUUGCAGGUAAAAGUGUGCAAUAUGUUUCAUCAAUGGGCCCCUAACAUAUAAGUACUUCAAUUUUCAUGCUCACGUCAGUAUUUUUUUUUUGUCAGCAUUUUGAUUUCAAUUCAUUUGGAUUUGUUAGGUUUCCAAGCUAUGUCAUGUUUGAAUUAUUCCAAGUUGAAGUCAUUUUCGGGUUUCGAGCUCGAAUGUACAGGUUUAGAAAAAAAAAACUGGCUGGAAAAAGAACUAAUGACUACAUGAAGCUGAAAUCAGUUUAAUCGUUUAAAAACAAAGCAGUUUGAUAUAUAUAUAUUUCGCCAAAUUAAUCAGAGGGGUUUUUUUUUUUGGGGGGGGGGGGUGUGGGGGGGCAUUGUAAACCGACGAUGGCAAAACAUUUCCAGACCAAAAAUCAGCUCAUCUCGUCGCAGACUUGGACCCUGCACCGGAUAAAAGAAGACCCUUAGUAACCAUACCAAUGUCAUGAAAGUAUGUACUCAUGGAGAUUGCUGGCUAUUUCAUAGCUAGCUAAUAUCAACAUUCCAUUUACAUUUAACUUACCCUUUGCAUCGACAAUUACAAUUACCUACACCAAAAAAAUUUAUCGAGUAAAAAGCAUCUCUAAUUCUAAGAUUGAGUGAAAAGAAUACGAUUUCGUUCAAUUGAAUUCACAUGAAAAGUUAUAAUUUUUUCAAAAUUUUGUGCAUGGAUAUUGUUGUAAUUUUGAAUGAUUAAAACAUGAUAAUUUACUUACUAGUUGGACGUUUCAUGUUCCGGCAAAAUUUACUGCCACAUCUGCACUGGAAUGUCUUAACAUGAUGGUCGAGAUCAUCAAAGUCGAUACCAUAGUCCUGCAUCACAAAAUGCAUGGCAUCUUCAAUCUAUGAGAAUUCUCAUGCAUGCAUAUGCCGUAAAAGAAUGCAUUAGAGCCAGAAUAAUUAAGCAUAUUAAUGUUACAGAAAACAAGAAAAAGGCAAAUAUGUAUAUCAUGCAUCAUAAUUUAUAAAAUACAGAAAAUAAAAAUUAUUACUUCAUCGUGCAUGGUUCGAGAAUAGCAGAAUGUAGUCUUGGUGAGAAAAUAAACUUAUUUUCCUACUUCAUUGCAAAAAACCAUUGCAUGAUUUUCAGAACACAAAAUGACACUAAGUACGAAUUACGAUUGCCAAAUAAGGAUGAAUGAGCAGUCAUACUCACUUGAAAAUGUUUUACUGGAUGCAUGUGCUAAAGACCUUAAAAUUCAACGAGUAUGAUACAGUCUUUGUCUAUGGUGCGUGGUGUGCUGGACAAUCACACAAAUCUCUGAAUAUCCUUUAAAUGCCACACAUUAUAACUUAUGGAACCUAAAAAACACUAUAAUUAACUUGUAGAAACAUUCUCAGGUCAAAACCAAAGCAUAUAACUCCCUUGUACAUAAGGAGGCAAGCUAUCACCAAAUGGAAGUAACACAGGAAGGAGUUGAUAUGGAUAACAGAUUGAAUAUAAGAGAAAUAAAUUAAAAGCUGAACUCUUCGGGCAACUUCAAGAACCUAAUCACUAACCUUAUAAAAUGCAACAUAUAUAAACUACAAGCUUCUGAAUAAUAUAGCUAAUCACUCACCCAAGUCAGCUCUUCAAGCGCAUGAACCUCUCUUGUUGUAAAGAAGGCUAGCUGCACACAGUACAUGCUCAAUUAGACUUGCUAUUGAAAAGAAUUUAAGCCAGCAAAACAAAUACGACAAUGAGGGUGAAAGAAACCGGUAUUUCGUACAUGAUAGUAAUGAAAUUCUGGAGUCUCCACUUCAACAGGAAUCUCAAUCAAGUUUGCAUCUAAACAUCUAGCAAUAUAAGGGUACAAAAAAUCAGAUAUUUUAAAAUAUUAGUUUAGGCCAAGGUGCUCAGAUAUUUCUUCAAAUGCAUUUGUCAUCAUGUGCCUUAACCACAAUGGUAAUUGAAACAAAACCUUGAUCGUGGAAAUUUAGUCAAUGUUGCAGGUAACCAGUCUAAUAUUUCAUCUAAUGUUUGUACCCUGAAAAUAUUUUCCCAUCUCCCUGCUUACACUACGGAUGAACCUUUUUAAUGUCAUCAAAAUCUGUUACCAAUGCCACAAAAAUACACAACAUGGAAACAGAUGCACAAGCAAAAAAGCAAUUGAAGGUUUUUGAAGAACACUUAAGAAAAUAAGGGCACAGAAAGUCUAAUAUACUACAUGCAUACAUACGAUUACCUAUGAUUGAUAAACCUAGCAACAUUUCCAUAACAUGUUGCAUCCAAGCAGAGGGCCUCUUCAUCCUUAGGAACUCCCUUCAACCCCCAGUAAGCAUCCAGCAGAACUGGAGAUGUAUGUUUCUCCCUGUUCCUUGCAUACAACUCAGGGAUGGUGAGUAUUUCUCCAACAAACUCACAAACAAAAGCUCCUUUGGGGAGAUUCUCGAGAGUUCUCAGGCCCCAACCUUUUCCAUCAGCUGUCAGAAACACCUAGCAUUCAGAGAAAACUAGUCAUGUAAAACACUGUCACAAAAAAGCAAAUUCAAAAGUAAAUGCCUAAAUCUGAAAAGCAACCUAAGAUAACAAGGACCAGAAAAUGUACAAGAGUAGGAUGAACCAAACCUGCAAUUUAUAAUUUACACCUCUCUGCACCACCCGAUUGCCACACUGCUUAUUGCACCCACAUUUGAUCCAACACUCUUUGAUUACUUUUCUCCGUAAGUGACCCUUACAAGGCUCCGCAAAGUCAUCAGCUUUUGAUCUCUCAAGAGGGCACUCUGUGCAAUUAAGAAGACAUUGUUUUUGAGGAUCACGAGUCAUAGAGAUACACUCUUCUAAGAAGUCUUCCUUAAUAACACCUUCCGGGGUAUAAGCAAAUUUUCCCCCAGCUUGACACGCACAUGCACAAGGCUUCUGGGACAAGAGACAAUCCCCGAGACAUGUAGGACAACAUCUUUCAUCUCCAAUCCGAGAAAGAGAAAAACUAACAUGGGCAUUUUGAAAUACCAAAUUGUCUGAUAUAUACUGAAACGGUGUAGGAAACUCUUUAUUAAUUUCAUUUACCCAUGAAAUUUCCAAAUUUUCUUCUCCCUUGGUUAUGUCACUUGCAUCAAGAACCCGCCUUAAUUCAUUAGAUGUAAGAUGAUGCUGUGGAGCAACCACCAAGUCCUUCCUCCCAACAUUGUCAACAAAUCCAUUUGCAGAGCAGUGAUUAUCGAAAGAUUCAUUUAACAUCAAAGUUGCCUCACAACAACCAUUUUCUUUAUUUUUCUCAGCAUCACCUCUUGUAGGAGAUUUCUGCAAUACGUCAAGAGCUGGCAUCUCAUUACCUUCCUGCGAUUGAUUAGAAGAAUUAGUUGCCAAUUCCGAGAUGCACUCACACAUAUCAGUCAGAAUUUUGAUGACAUCAAAAUUUGGGUCAAUGAGUUUAUAAGACUGGAGACAUCUCAGCUCCAUCAGUCCUCUUAGUUCAUCUAUACUAGGCAAUUUGAAAUUUGGCCUUCCAAGAGCAGAAUUGUAACUUAGAGAAAUCGUCACCUCUCCCAAUUGUGAUGAGGCAAUCUCUAGGAUAGAAGGAAUUCCAUCAGGAACAGUAGCAUGCUCGCAGCUGGUAUGUCUCUCAGUUCCUGAAGCUGAAGCACCAGCACCUGCAAUUUCAGCUGCAUGCAAGGAUUCUGGAGGUUCCAGCCAAUUUGAUUUUUCAGUUGAAAAAUCCCCUAUUGGCAAAUCUCUUCCGCUUAAUGAAUCUAUUAAAAAAUGUUAUGGUAAAAUAAAUAAAUAAAGGAUUAAAAAUGUUAGAAAAUAGAAAGAGGGAAAAGCAACAACUCCUCAAGAUAAGCAUCAUUACAAUUUCAAUAUCCAUCAAUGUUGUAAUUAAAAUGCUGUUAGCAGAUUCUCUAUAUAAAAAAUGGAGUUAUAUACAACAGAUUAGGAUCAACACAGCAAUAACUAAUAAAUUAGACGGAACUAAUUGAUAUUCAGUUCAAGACUCAUCAUUUCUUUAAGCACAGACAUGUAACCACUAAAACAACAUAUACAGGCAUUUAAAAUGCAAACAAUUAAAUCAUACAAGUCAAAAUUUUGCAAGUACAUUGAACUCCUAGUCUGUCAAUGAUAUAAACCAAAAUGUAAAAGUAGUAACAUGUACAAACUGCAAAUUCAUUAGCCUGUGGAGAAAAGCAUAUAUAUGCAUUACAUCUUUAUUUCUCUUUCGUUUUAAUGAAGACAGGUUCAACAGGUUCCAAACGUCUAAAUUAUCAAGUGUAGAUACCAGCUGAAACCUGAACGUGUAACAACCCGAGAUUAUGUACAGCCAAGGUAACGGGUUGAGAACUAUACAGUCUAAAUUGUAUGCCAAAAUUUAUAGGACAUACAGCUACAUGGUAUACUCCAGACCAUGCUUUUCAGUUUUUAAGUAAUUUUUGAGUAAACUGGAAAAGCUGAAUAGAUAACAAACCAUGAAUAUUAUAUUUCUACACCAGGACCCAAUAAAAGCUGCACAUAAAGGAAUUACGUGUUGAAAAUGUGACCUCCUAAAAAGGUAUUUCCACUGUUUUUAAACACUGGUUCAUGACUUAAGAAACAUGUAACAAAUCCUAUUAAAAGUCUGUCCAUUUUAUAGUACAGAUUACCAAACUUUAUAACAUCAAAAUGGACUCAAUUAAAUUAGAUGCAAGAGAAUUGCCACAGAGCUAAUCAAAUAUUGAUUUGAAAUGAAAAGUGAAUUAUGGAGGAAAAAGAAAGAAAAUGGCAUUCAUAUGGGAAUUACAAUAAUUACCUGGCUGAAUAACUGCAAGAGGAACCUCAUCCUGUGGCAUGUCAUCAGUAAAGGGCUCUUCCUUGGGUAUAAUUAGUGCCUGAGUAGCAGAGAACCUAUUGUUAGGAAUAAUACCAGGCUCAGGAGCUGGAUCUUUAAUACGCAAGGCAACAGAUGCUCUCUCAGGGCCUUUUCCCUUGGAAGCAACAUGAGGUGACAUAGGUUCCUUUCCUUUGUAAUUAGGCCUAGGUUCUACAAUCUGCUUCCCUUUAUCCCUACCACUAUGAUGAGGUGAAACAGGAGCAUGGGAGGGAGGCUGAGGGGAAACAGGACCAGGUAAAGCAGGCAGGAUUUCUGUCCUUAUAUUUCCAACAUUGGACUGAAGUGACUGGUGUUGCAAAGAAGCAGGAGGUAUUUCAUUCUCCUCAACUUUAGGCUCUUUUAAAAGAGUUCCAGCAACAUUAGAGCUUCCAUUUGUAUGAGAACAAGUGGCCAGCCCUUCUUGGUUUUUUAAUCGUGCUCUUUUUAAGGGGCGAACAAGCUCAUCAGGUGUGGAACCUUCUUCGUCAAUGUCCUCCUGCUAGGUAAGAAAAUCAAAACAUAUCAGUUGUCGGAGAUGGAUGAUGAGAAGAAGGAAAAAAAUUUCUGCAGAACCAGCAUAAGUUAGAGAGAUGAGUCACCAGUCACGUACAUCAUGUGCAUUGCUUUUUUUAGGUUCUGACACCUGAAAAGCAAGAACAAUAUCAAAGACGUCAAGAGAUGAAAGUUGAAAUUGUACUAAAAUAUAUUAUAAAGGAAAAUGUACCUUGCUGUCCUCCUCCUCAAAGAUAGCAUCAGCAAGAACUCUAUAAUUCUCUGAUUCAAUUAGCUCCCAAUUUUUCUCAUACAGCUUUAGAAGCUUCUUCAAUACUGGUUUCACUUUUUCCUCGCUAAUUCCUAUUUCCUUCAUCGUGCGGAAGGCUUGCACAACUCUGGGGUUUGGUGCCAUGAUGCUUUAUCAGCUAUCACUUUUGCAGGCUUGCAAACACCGCUAUUUUUACCUACAUUUCUCCAUUUUGGUCAAAGAAGGUAGGCAACAACAGUCAGUCUCAUUCCAGGAUUGCAAACACGCAAACACCACUAAACUAAACAUUUUUAACUUCUAAUGUCUACAACUAAAUUAAGAGAACUAAACAAUAACCUAAAAAAUGAAUAUCAUCAUAUAACUUUAAUUACACUCAAGAUCAUUCAAGUUCAAGUAAGAAACCUAAAGCUAAAGCCUUCAGGAUUACAAGCAAAAAAGAUCAACCAAAUCAUUUUUUUACCUUAGCGAGAAAAAACCCUUGAAGAUUAAUUUAAUCUAAACCUAAGACAGAAAACACGGCAGGAAUGAGGUUUUUUUUUUUUUAAUAAAGAAAAUUUUCACAUCCUAGAAAAUUUUCUUUGAAAGGAAAAUCAUCUUUAACGUUUCUAGAGAAGCUCAAAAGUUUGACUUUCUAAUUUCUUUCUUUUUCUUUCUUUUAGUAUCGUUUCAGAGAUCAAACAACUUCCUUUCAGCGAGAGUACUGCAUUACCGAAUACCGUACAGUUCAAUUCAUUGCUUAUGAGGAAAAUGUUUUUCUAGACGACAUUUUCCCAGCAGACAAACAGAAGUUAAGCCAAGAAUUUAUCAAAAACCAAUGCACUAAGCCGAGAAAAAAAUUAAAGCCUCGGAUUCAAAUGUAACGGGAAAAAAAAACUUUGAUAGAAAAAUAUGGAAAAAAAAACACUGAAAGUGAGAACGAGAAAGAAAAGGAAAGAAUCGUAGAACAGAAAAUCAUACCAGAAAUUUUCGGUGUGAGAGUGAUUAGCGUUCGAAAGGUAAAAAAUUAGAAAACAUAGGGCAAUUUUUGGGUUUUUGAGAAAAAAAGGAAAAAUACGAGAAUUAUUUUACCCUUUUGAAGAACAAAAUGACAAGGUCAAAAUCUACUAUUAGUCCCUGUAGUAUGCUUAAGUUUUGAAUUUAGUCACUAUACUUCAAUUUGAAGAAUUUUAAUUUUAUACUUUUCCAAAUUGGUCAAUUUUAAUUAUUAUACUUUUAAAAUUUUAAAAUUUCAAUCUUGACUCAAAUGUUUGUAGUUAAACUAUGUUAUUAAACAUGUAUUAUGCGUAAAAUUGUUGAUUUGUUGAUACGAGUUAUCAACAAUAAUGAGAAGAUAUUGUGUUGAUUCACCAGUGUAAGUAAAAAACUAGUGCAAAGAGAAAAGGAGAAUGCUCUAAGCCUUUUGUGUAAGAGUUAAUAGAGAGAGAAAACCCUCGUGCACUCUAGCUUAUAUAUGGGGUCAUUGGUCAUCUUGCAGUGUCACGUGAUGGUUUAGUUAUUGUCAUAUGUAUUGUGUGGUACCUCUAUCCUCAGGAUAGUACAAAACGGUUACAUUUAGGUGGUCCUAAUAAGAGGGUGCACAAUGGACCAUCUAAAGGCUAACUCACAAUGGUUUUGGAGGGUCACCAUGGACCAUUCAACAGCUUGUCACGUGUUGUGCUGCAGUAAGGGUAUAACAAAAUCCAAUCAUUGUUCUCCAAUUGAAUUAUUUUUAGUCAUUAUAUUUUUCAAAUUUUAGAAUUUCAAUAUUGACACAAAUUAUUACUGUUAAAUCAAUUAAUUGGAAUUUUUAAUUAACACGUAGAAAUAGUAAGGUGAUAAUAGUAUUACAUAUAUGAUAUCAUUUUUUCCACAUCAAAUUUUAAAAAUAGCAGAACUUGAUGUAUUUAACACUGCCAAUCAAAAAUUUAAAAUUUAGAAAAUACAGGUAAAAUAACCAAAUUAAAAUAUAAAGACUAAAUCCACAAAUUAUGUAUGGUACAGGGACUAUUAGCAGAAUUUAACCCCUUGGCUAUAUUAUAAAAGCGCGUGACGCACACGCUAGUGUUGAGCCCACCUUGAGCGUAGAAGUGGUACCAAUACUAAAGCAGUCAAAUUUCUCCGUUGAACUCCGUCCUCAAGAAUCAGUUUCAAAAACCCUCCAACAAAAACCCUCUUCCAUUUCGUAAUAUAAACCAUGGCGGCUCAACCCAAACGCGGCGGAGUUUCCCUACCCGAGAGGCGGUCUGCCGGCAAGCCGGAAUCCAACAUCCUCGCCAGGAUCAGUUCCUCCCCUAUCGUUUCUCGUGGUAAGCAAGCCGCGUGCGACGCCGCUUUCGUCUCCAAGAAGCUCCUCCUUAGCACCGGAAAGGCUGCUUGGAUCGCCGGAACUACUUUCUUGAUCUUAGCUGUCCCUUUGAUCAUCGAGAUGGACCGUGAGCAGCAGCUCAAUGAGCUUGAGCUACAGCAAGCUAGUCUUCUCGGUGCCCCGCCUACUGCGUCCGUCAGUAAGUGAUCAGGUCCGAUUGGGUCAUUUCAGGUCAGAGCUUGUUGUUUCAUCAAUUUUUUGCCUGUUUUAGGCCGUUCCCCUUGAGUUACAGUAACCUUUCGAUCAUGUACGAGUUUUAGAUGUAGUUAAGGAAUUCAAGAUUUUACUUCUUUUUUGGUGUUUCAAGUUUGAAUUUCUUGUGGAAUGGCGUUAUUGGACUUGGUUUUAUCAAGUUUUUGCUUAUGAAUUUCAAGUGAAACUGUGUUGUCUUUGAUAUUGUUGUAAUAAAGUACUCGAAAUUUAGGAGUUUUCAUUUUUGCUACUUUUGAAUGAGAACCAAAUGAUUAUGGAAUGAUCUUUAACCAAAGAUUUACUGAAAUAGUCAAAUGCUAUUACUUGAUCGCUUUGCAUUGAAUAUUGUUAGAUUACAUUGCAGCAGUUGAGUAUACAUGGCAUACAUCGAUGUUUGAAGAGUCCACACUUGUAUCUUGGAAAUGUUCUAUUUCAGUAUUGAUCCUUUUUUUAUGAAUUUCACUCUGAUGUUGACCAUUAGUUGGGACUUGGGAGUUGGAGUAGGGUCAAGAAUUAUUGGAAGCUCACCACACCCUCGAUUUGGUAGUUCUCCUGAUGAUUCUGAUGUGCUUAAACUAGUUCUAGAAUUUCAAGAAUCAUGAACCAUCAGGAUAUGGGAUUAGGUGCACCAACGUAGUUAGAGUUUUAGCUUUGUCAUGCCUAUUUCUGAUAGCAUGAAAAUUAAAAUACAUCAGUUCUUUUGACUUUCAAUUUGAAGUUGGUGCUUCAUAAUAUGUCAUAAAGAAAACUUGGAGUUAUUAAGUUCUUAAUGGAUUUGAGUUGUUAGAUUCAUUGUUGAACUAAUUAUUCCGAGAGAAUCUGAGGGUGUUUGUUUUCUAGUUGUAUUGUUGGUUGAAUCAAUUAGACAGGAAUAAUAAAUGUCACAAGCAAGGAUGAGUAGAAUUCCGUCUUUGUUGAACUUAAGGACUGUGAUCCCUUUCUCAUAAAAGUUUAUUUCUAAAGGUUCAGUGUGGUAAAGAAUGUAAUAUAGGGUCUUCUGAAAGUACUCUUGCAGUAGAACCUCUUUCUUCAAUUUUUGGUCGUUGGAGAUCGAGAUCAGGACACAGAUUAUAUGCUGUCCAGGAGCAUGCUAAUCUUUUACUGUUUAGUAGGUUAAAAAUCCUUCUGCCAAAAAAUGCUGUUAUUGCACCGAGUGCUUGAUGUCUUUAUUUUUCCUAAUCUUUGGCAUCAAGUCAAUAGGGAAUAUUUGGUAACUACAACAUAAGCUUUCAACACUCUUUUGGCAGUUUCACCUAUGGCCAUGUGAAAUGCAAUUUUGGGGAUCAAAUUAUCAACGAAGGAGGAGAAAUUUCAAAAUCACUGAACAUCAUUUUCCCUAGUGAGGGAUGUUGGUAUUCUAGUAGUUUUCUCUUGUAGCUCAUAUGAUUAUUUAUUCAUGUCACAAGCUGAAAACGGCUUUUAAAGUGUAAACCUUAGACUAAAGAGGUUUAGGUAAGAAAGUCUUAGGCUUUUCUUGGAAUGAAGACUGAAAGAGGUAAAGAUGGAAAAUUUGUAAUGGUUAAGAUGCAUGGCCACCUUCCUACUUUACAGCUUAACCAUUAGAUUAACAAAAUUUCCAUCCUCACUUCUUUCCUUCUUUCGUACCAAGAAGAGCCUUACUAUGUUUACAUAUCUUGCUUCGGCAUCUGCUACUUGGUUAACUUGCUUGUAACUCUAGAUAUAAGAUGCAGGUGUAGGCAUGUAGCGUAGCAAAGUGAAAUGAAAUUAGGCAAUAGGUGCAACAAUAAGAACAGAUGAAGCAUCAUAUGUAGAUGAGGAUGGGUGGUCCAAAUCUUGCCAAAUAUAAAAGAUUUAAAAGAAAAAAAACCAAAGUAUUAGUUUGACAUGGAUUCUAGGAACUAUUUUCUUUGUAUACGUGGUUGUGGCUUAAAACACGAGGUAAUCUGAUCUCAUAGUGCCUCACCAACUUAUUUAAACAUCAUGGUUGAUAGAGAAUUAGAGUUUGGACCCUAGCCCUGAAGAAGACUUAUUGAAGAUGAUUUGUUUACUUUUAAGAGUAGUGGGGACAAAGUAAUGGAUAUUAUCAAGUAUCAAACUUUAAAGGCAUUAUAGGACCAAAGAGACUUCGGUACACUUGGUCUAAACCAAUGCUUUUUAAGAUUGGUGAACUGGGUUGACCCUUUGAGACCAGAAAAUCAGAAAAGGAUCCUUUACUUUUCUUUUUUUUUUUCUUGAACUUCGAUUAUGGGUGAAUAAUAAGGAUAAAGAAAAGCUAGUAGGCACUGGGGUCUAUUGUGUCUUUAAAAUAUAGUUGUUUUAAGGUCCUUUAAUUUGGUCUCGAAAUGGUGGUAUGCUUUACAAGGUCCCUUUCUUUUGAAGUUUAAAGCAUGAAGAACAAAAGACUUAGUUAAUUUUUCUUGUGAGGUAUCUCUGCUUUUGUAGGAUAAAAAUUCAUUCCUUUUGUAAGAAAUGUUAAUCUUGAUAUUCUGGUUAUAUGGUUGGUUUGUGAUUUGAAAUGCAGAGAUGGUUAGUUCAUCUGGCAAUCCUUCAAACAAUAUGAAGCAUUUCAAAAUGCUUAAAUCGUUUAUGUCAGCAUUUUUCAUUUUAGGAAUCAGAUUUCGGCCAGGGCUGGCGCCAGGUACAGGUAGGAUCCUUGGCCCGAAAAACAGUGAAAUAGCAAUCAAGUCCUUUAGAAAUUAUAGAAUUAUAAAGUAGUAUAAUGAUGAAAUUGCAUAUUGAUCCCUAUAAAAAUUUUCUAGCUUCUGCCUUCGGCUUAAUCUAUAGAGCUUGUGAUUCUUACUCUAAUUUGAGUGUUAAUUUCUUCAGCCCUCCUUGUUUUAUACCUUUGUUACUUAUAGGACAAGUGUUAAAUACUAGUAUGUAUCAAUGCAGAUAAUUUUUUAUUUAAAUUUAAUUACAAAAUUAUAUAUUAAUUAUCAAUAUAAAUAUGUUUCUUAUUUUAUUGUUUUUAAUAAUAAAAAAGAAUAUGGGGUUAGAGAAAAAAAAAUAUCGUUAUUUAUCACCUUUGAAAACAAAAUGACAUCAUUUUCAAAAGUGAGAAAAUCACUUUCAUCAAGACUUCACAAUUUUAUUAGAAAAAAGAACAAAUAUAUGUAUGGUCACCGGAGGAAAAUUUGAAAACUGAAUUCUCUUAAUUAAAGUUUAUAUUAAAUUUAUACUAUAACCAUAUUCUAAAUUUAUAAAUUUAUAUAAUUUCUUUCGUGGUUUAACAUUUUUAUAAUUUAUAUUUUUUAAUUUUUGGUUCAAAAAAGUUUUUUAUUUUUAAAUUAUAAAUACAAAUAAUAUUUUCAAUCAUAAUCAAUACUCAUCCAGUAACAUAGUUUAAAUUAACCACUUAACUAUAGUAAAACAAAAGAGAAAGCCCACUAAUUCAACUAAAUAUUAUUCAGAAUAAAUCUAAAGAGAAAAUCCACGUACAAAUUUACAAAAACACUCGAAAUUCUAGGGAUGUACAAUAAAGAGCAUUAAUCAUCAUCCGUUUUGAAAAAAGUUUAAAACAGAAAUUAUAUAUAUAGAUAAUUUAUUACUCGUAACAUUAUUUUGUCAAUUAUAUUUUUAUUAUUUUAUCAUAAUUAUUGCUUACAUAUUUUUGUGACCUUUUUUUAUUUCAUUCGACUAUAGAGGUGCACCAUAGAACUUAGUCAUUAUCAAAAUGCGUGGCAUUCAUUACGGGUAUUUUUUCAGUUUUUAUUUUUGUGUUUAUCUUCUAAAUUACAGAUGUCAUAAUUAGAGAGUUGAAGCUGUGACGUGUCAGCUAACCAGCAGAAUAGGGCGUGGAAAGAUAUAAUGAUUCAGAUGUAUCACAUCUUAUCAACUAGGUCCCACUCUUCCAACCGGCAAUUUCAUAAUUUAAAUAUUAAAAAAAUUUUAAUAAGAAACAAACUGAUAAAUUGCACUCAAGGUCACUGAAUUUUUAGUAAGUUUAUAUUUUAGUUACUUAACUUUUGACUAUUCAAAAAUUUUAUUUAAGUCCCUGAAUUUUUUAAAUAUUUUUAUUUAAGUCACUUGGUUAAUUUUUUGAUGUUAGUGUUUGAUAUCAAAGAAGAAAAUUGUUUAAAUUUUAGUUCACAUAUUUGUGAUGUUUAAAUAUAUUUAAAAGAAAAAGAGAAUGAGAGCUUGUAAUUGAUGUAUAUGUGUGAAUAGACAAAGUUUUACAAUAGAAAUUUUAAUAACCUAAUGACUUGAAUGAAAAUUUUUAAAUAAUUUAAUGACCAUUUUAUAAAAUUUUAAAGUUGAGUGAUUAAAAUAUAAUUUUAUUAAUAGUUUAAUCACCUUGGUGUAAUUUACCUGAAAAGGAAAAAAAUAUAGAAAAACGUGGAUUCUAUCUUGUCUCCUGGCCCCCAAACCGUCCAAUAUCAGACAAAAAGCCACGCCGCCCUCAAAAAAUAAAAAACAAGCAAAACAUGUCUGUUUAUGAUUGUUCCUCUGAUUUUUUUUUAUAUAUAAAAAUAUAUUUAAAUUUUAUUCGGACCUGAAAACAUUAUAGUUAUCGGUACUGAAACCUUGUUUAUAAAUUUAAAAAAAAAAAAAGGAGGAGGAAGUGGAGGGAAUGAAGGGUUUUGAUUUGAUGCGGGUGGGUCUAAUGUUAAUGAUAUGUCGAGCUGUCAAUGUUUUUUUAUCAUUUCAUUCAAAAUCCGUGUGUUUUACUUGCUUGAGGUUUUUAAUUUGGUAAAAUUGUGUUUUUAGUACCUGGGUAAGUUACGGAUUUAGCUUUAAUACCUUACUUUUGCUCAAUUUUAGUGAUAAUAUAUUACUUGCCUAUGAUUUUAGAAAUGUCAUAUAGAAAUUCUUAUAUUGGGAGUCAGAUUACAUACUAUCCCUUUAAUUAAAAAAUAAGUAAAUUUAUCUCUAUACAUAAGAUGAAAGAGUAAAUUGCUUUUUUUUUAAAGAACUUUAUCCAUUUCUAUUGCUAAAAGUUGUCAUGGCUAAUAAAAUAAUUAGACAAUUAUACGUGACAUGCCACAUGUACCUUAUUCUAAUGUACAUAGACUUGUUUUUAACCGUAGAAAUGGAUGGAAUUUUCAAAAGGACUAUUUUGCUCUUUGAUCUAAUGUAUAAGGAUUAAUUUGUUCAUUUUUUAAGUAGAUGGGGCAAAAUAAAAUUUAGCUCCUAAUAUAAGAGCCUCCAUAGUAAUUUUACCAUAUAAUUUAACUUAAUAGAUUUAAAAAUUAGCAUUUGAUUUGAAACUAAAAUUUCAAAAAUUAAGGAAUAAAGACUAAAUUAGAUUAUAAGGAUUAAAUAUGUAAUUGAAACAUAGUCUAAGGACUAAAAGCAAAAUUUUACAUUUUUCAUGUUUAUGAGGUGGUUCCGACAUUGUGGUGAUGGGCUCCAAGGUCUGACGUGUGGAACCUCGUGAUGUUUGGGCCCACUCUUGUCGGCUUGUCGUUUGGUUCGCUUGCACUGAAUGGGUCCACCCACUAACUGUGCUUUACCGUUUUUCUCCUUUUGGUCUUGCAUUAUUAAAAUAAUAGUAGAAAUAAAUAUUUUUUAAAAAAUAAUGUGAACUAAACUGGAUUGAUCCAUCGUAUUAGAAAGAAGUUGGUGUAUUGAUCCGGAGUAAGGCAAAAGAAUUAGUUAGACUCGUAAAUCAGUAUUAAAAGAUUGAAAUGGAUUAAAAAUUUUAAAAACCACCUUAUUUCUCUAAAAAAUUAAUUGAUUUAUUAUAUUUUUACAAUAAAACCUUCUAUGAACAAUAUUUUGGAGACUUUAAAAAAUCAAAAAUCCCUCUAUAUAUUUUAAACUCAAUUUUAUAUAAAUGCAAGCAUAGAUUUAAAUUAAUCGAAGUGCAGUAAUUCAAAAGGGAAAAUGAAUUAAAAAUGAGAAAAAGGAAAGAAAAUCAUUAAAUUUUUAAUUAAUUAGUUAGGUUUUGGCAUUUUGUUAAUCUUAUCCAAACAUUAAUUUGUAUAAAACAGAGACACUCCCAUUUCCCAAGAAGAUUAUCCCAAAAUUAUAUAAUAAAUGCCAUCAAAGCCUGCUAGAAUUAUUUAUUAACAUUUUGUUGUUAUAUUAUGUGUUCUUUUUCCUUUCUUUUUUUUUUUGAUAAAUGAUUUUUUAGCAGCUUUAUUCUUUAAAAAUAAUUAUAGUUAUUUAAAGGUUAGGUUAAAAUAAGGUUUAAAAACAAUUUAUUAUAAAAAUAUAUCAAUUUGAGCCGGAUUGUGGUUUAGCUCGACCUAUGAAUAAAUUGAUUCUAAAUUAUAUCUAUUUUUAGUUACUUAAUUUUAAAAAGUUAUAAAAUGAUCAUUAAAUUAUUAAAAAGUUUUCGUUUAAGUCAUUGGGCUGUUAAAAUUGUUGUUGUACGGUAUCUGUUCACACUACCUAUACCAAUAAGAAAUUCUCUUUUCCUUUCUCUUCCAUAAUUCAAUUUUUUUUGUUAUGAAAUAGUUUUGAACAUCGCGAAUCAACAAACUAAAAUUUAACUAAUUUUCUUUUUUGAUAUCCGACACUGGCUGUCAAAUCACUUUGAUCUAAGGUAUGUUCUUCUACUUGACACUGGAUACUAAUCCACUGUACUUAAGUGAAUAAUAAUUUUUAAAUAGUUCAGUGGUUUAAGUGAAAAAUUUUAAAUAGUUUAAUGAUAUUUUGUUUGAAGUUUAAUAACAAAAAUAUAAACUUAUUAAUAAUUUAGUGAUAAUUUAUUAUUUUUAUUUUUUAUUUAUUAAAAAACACACACACUAAUGAGGAAUAUGAAAACCAGACAAGGUAGGGACCCAAACAAAUAGCAGAACCAGCACCUUGGUAAACCAAAAUCACCUUCCCAACCAACCUUUUUCCAUUUUUCUCCUUCUUCACUACCACUCCUCUAUUAUUAUUUCCUUUCAUGUUCAAUUUCCUCUCACAAAUCUCCUUUUUGAUUUUCCCAUUUCUCUCUGCCUGCAAAAAUCCCACAUACAAACUUUUACUUCCAUUUGAUCAUUUUUCUUCUCCUCUUUGAACCUAGGACCUGGGGGUUCAGUUUUAAAUGCAAGGUGGUGGCGGCGGCGGUUCUGAAAGUGGGUCAAUGUCUACAGUGUCAAGGGAUGAGAACAUGGUGGUGUCUUCUGAAGAUUCUUCAUGCCCGGAUGAGUCUGGGUUGGAGUUGGGUCUUGGUUUGAGCCUUGGUGGUGGUGGUGGUGGUGGUGGCGGCGGCCGCCAAGGCGGUGGUUUUAAGAUGCAUCAUGUUUCAAAAGGUGGUCCAUAUGCUAGGAUUUUGACUGCUAAAGAUUUCCCUUCUUCAUCAUUAUCUUCAUCGUCGUCAUCAUCAUCAUCCUCACCAUCUUUAAGCAAAGCUAAUGUCACAGCUGGGACCAAGAGAACUGCUGAAUCUGUUGCUGUUGCUGCUAACGGAUCUAGGUAUAUGCUUCAGUUUUAAGCUUGAUUUGUGAUUUCAUAUUUUCAUGUAAUUAAGUUUUUGGGGUUCAUUCCAUUAAUCAUAUGUCCCUGAAUAUGCUUAUGUUCGGUAGGAGGCUCCUGUCCUAUAGUAUUUUGCUGUCUUACUUAAAAAAUAGACAAUUUAGUCCCUCUAUGUUAGAUCAUGAAUAAACUCGUCAUUCUAUUAAAAAUUACUUUCAUUUCUACUAUUAAAAACUACUAACUACUAUUAAAGACUUUCAUUUCUACUAUUAAAAACUACUAACUACUACUAUUAAAGACUUUCAUUUCUACUAUUAAAAACUACUAACUACUAUUAAAGACUAGAUAUACGUGGCACAACACAUGUCACUUUCAGGUUAUUCCUUAGCUAUAUCGGUUUUUAACCAUCACGGUUUUUAACCAUCAAUUUGACAAUGAUGAAAUAUUUAACAAAAAAAACUAAUUUGCUCUUCAAGACAAAAAGAAUCAAUUUUCUAUUUGAUUUAACGGGACUAAAGUGCAUACUUUUUAGUAGGGGUUAAAUUGCAAUAUGACUUCUAGUAUAAGGGCUUCACUGCUUAUGUUCUUAAUGUUAUAUAUAUGAGUUGUAUGUCUUGCGUAUGUUUUCUUUAACUCUAUAAUACUACCUAGUUAAGAUCAGGGGAUAGAGAAUUAGGAAAGGAGAGAAAACUAGAAUCUUCCAAUUAGGCUUAAACAUGUUCCUUAAAAUGAUUAUUUAUGUAUAGAUUUGAAUCCUUUCCACUCUCGUCGAGACGGGAUCGUGUUGGUGAACUAUGUUGCUCUGACUUUUCUUUUUUAUCAAAGUAUUCAUGCUUUGUUGUGUACCCGUUACUUCAAGGAUCUGCCAUAUGCAUGGAAAAAGUUAGGAAAAUCGAACAUACCCGUGUUGGACACGUACCUUUAUACCUAAAUUUUAGUAACUUAGCUAUUUAGUGUUUCUACUUAUUUUGAAGAUAUAAAUGCUGGUAGAUCUUGUUAAUUCUAUAAUUAGCUUUGAAUUGUUUGAUUGUUCAUCUCUCUUUGCCCCUCUUUCGGGGUGUCCUGCUUUCGAUUAACAUGUUGGUCCAACAUAUAUGAAUGGCAAAUGUAAGUGUAUUGAAAAUAGACAGAAAUGUAAUGGAUUGGAUCUUAGGUGUUGUAUUGCCAACUUGUAAAGCAUAAAAUUGGUGAUUGUCCCUGUAAUACAUAAUUGAUCAAAUUCUCAAGUUCUUGAACCCAAUUUUAAGCAGCAAACCGGUUUAUAUCAAGCCCUAUAUGGCACUAUCAAUGCCAUCAAGACUGUUUAAUGUGUACAAUUAUUCUUCAGUAUCUUUCCGGUACCUCAUGAGUAGCUAAUCGCUUUUCUUUCUAUUAAACGUACCUAUUUGAGUUCUGCUGCUUGAACUAUUAAUUUUCUUUGAAUUUGAAACAGUCAAGUUGUGGGGUGGCCUCCUAUCAGAGCUUAUAGAAUGAAUAGCAUGGUUAAUCAAGCAAAAGUGCUGACAAUGGAGAACCGCAAAAAGGAGACCUCGAUGGUCGAGAACAGCAGCAUCGGCGGCUAUCGUAACGAUGGUAACACUAAGCUGAAGAAAUCCACGUUUGUGAAGGUGAAUAUGGAUGGAACCCCAAUAGGAAGGAAGGUCGAUCUGAAUGCCCAUGAAUCGUAUGAAAAGUUAGCGAAAACGUUGGAAGAUAUGUUUCUCGAAACCGCCCCGAGUGUCAAUCCAUCUGGUAAGCUUUCCUAAUUCAUAUUGAUUAUUGACCAUGCAGAUGUCUGGAUCUAUAUGAUAACCAUGUAAAUGAUAUAUGAAAUUUAACAAAACCGAUAUAUGCAAAACCAUCCCUUUUUGUAUUUGCUUGAGCAUUGUGUCAAAAUAGGAAAUAUUAAACCUAGUAGAUGAUCAUCAAAGCGUGUUUCUCUUUUUAUGAAGGUUUGCAUUAAUUUUUGUGAUUAGGAUCAACGGCGCUGCAGCUUGAUAUGUUGAACAGGAUGACAAGACACUCGAAACUGCUGGAUGGAUCAUCCGAUUUCGUGCUUACUUACGAGGACAAGGAAGGUGACUGGAUGCUUGUUGGAGAUGUUCCUUGGGAGUACGUAUAAUUUCAAUAAUGCAUUUCACUUUACAUAUUAAUUAUUUCCAUGUCACGGUCGCGGUAUUUCUAAAAUGAACUUCUGCUCUUUUUGCCUGGACCGAAAACCAAAACGUAAUCCCUGAGAGUUUCCACCACGUUUAGACGUUUAAUUUUAUUUGAAAACAAAUAUACAUACAUACAUGUGAUAUAAAUAAAGUUUUCGGUUUAGGGUUUAGCGUUACAUAAACCAUUGAUCGGUUACUUCAGAAUGAAGUCAUCAUCUCUUGACACUGAUCGUGCAUGUUCUCGGGUUUUGAUUCAGGAUGUUCCUUACUUCAGUGAAAAGGCUUAGGAUCAUGAGGAAAUCUGAGGCAACUGGAUUAGGUACGUAUGCAAAUAUUCAUACUUUUCCGGUCUUAUCAGGGGCAGGGGCGUAGCCAAAGUGGGCAGGUAGGGGCCUUGGCCCCUGUCGACUAAACGGUUAAAUUGCUUUUUUAGGCCCUUCCAAAAUCAAAAGAUUUUCAUUUUAUUUUUGAUUGAAUAAAGAAAAUUAUAAUUUUAGCCCUUUUGAAAAAUUGAUAAUUUAAUUUUAGCAUUUUUAAUACAAGUUUUUUUAGCGUUGGUCCCUCUAAUUUUAUAAUCUUAUUUCGACCUCUCUAAACAAAAUUUUUGGUUUCACCCCUGGUCUUAUGCUUUUUUCCAGUUCUAAGCUAAGUUCAAGUUUCAUUCAUAAUUUACAGCUCCAAGGUAACAAGAAACAGAACCAGAGACAAAGAAGAAAGCCAAUGUAGAAAUGUUUUUUUUUUUUUGGUUUCAAUGUCAAUUACAGUGUUGAAGAAAUAUAGUCACCAUAGGUUAUGAAUGUAAUAUUUAAUACAAAUAACAACUAGUGAGAGUGUUGUUCUUUGCUUUUAUGCCUGUAAAUAAAAGCGGCAAGUUUGUUGUUGUUGUUUAGUUUCAGAACUUUUCUUUCGUUUUUGGUUUAUUAUAGUUAGAUUUUCGAACGGGUCAAUUUUGAUUUCAAAAAAUUAUUUAAAAUUAAAGAAGUGAAUAUUAUAAAAAAUAAUUUUGUAAAAAUUUUGGUCUCGAAAAUUUUUGAAUUUUUUAUAAAAAUCAUCGUUUUUUUUAUUUAAUUUUACUUGUUAUGCAGUAAUAUUUUAUUUUUAUUAAUUUUUUGUUUUAAUUUAUGUAAUAUAAAAUUUUAAAUAUUAUUUAAUUAACGGUUUAAAAAAUAUUUAUAUAAUAUCGAUAAUUAAAUAUGUAAUUAAAAUAAUAUAAAAUUUGGAGAUAUAUUGAAAUUUUCUGGUGGAAUUAACUUUGGGUAAAAUAUAUAAAAAUGGUACAAUAGAGUUUGGAGUAAGAUAAUGUUUACACGUGGAAGUGCACGUGCAGCAUCGGCAGUUUCGGAUAAUGGAUUCAUUCAACUAUUCAAGAGACCAAACAAGUGGAAAUGACUGAUUUAGCCUGACUGACGCAGCUGUGUGUCAUAGUGUCGGUAUUUUCAAGAUCCUUUGGUCAAACAUCAAUCUUUUAACCAAUUAUUUUAUGCCAUGUGUCAUAGUAAUCUAAAUUUAGGAUGUUAUUGCUUUUUUUAGUAUUUAAAAUAUUUAAAUUACUCAAAUAUUUUACUUUAAUAAAUAAUAAGAGUAUAUAUAUUCUUAUAAAUUAAAAUUAAUGAAAUCCUUUUCAUUAUUCAAAUCUUAUCAAACUAAAUUAAAAUCAUUUAAAUAAUAAUUUAAAAUAUAUUUUUUGCACUAACUAAAUUAAAAUCAUUUAAAUAAUAAUUUAAAAUAUAGUUUUUGCACUAAUUUUAUCAUGAAUUCUGUUUUGAGCAUUUUUAUCAUAAGUUUUGAUCAUAUUUAUCAUAACUUUUAUAAUACGUUUCAGCGUAUUUAAUCUCAUAACGUUCUACAUUGACAAUAAUACCUAUAUUAAUUAAACUAAAAUCCGCGUACAUCAAUUAUUUUGAAAAUCUCAAAGAAGGGCAAUUAAGUCAAAUGUUAAUAAUGGGGAGGGUAAAUGCAAACUGUGCUCAGCCUAUCCCCACACCUGCCGUCUCUCCAUAUAAAUUAGAUUUGAAAAUUUCUGUUUUGGUAAUAAGAUUUGAAAAUAUUUGACUCCUAAUUAGAAAAAAAAAAGGAUGGUUUAAAUCAUGUGAUUGUCAUUAAUAACAGCAAACCGAAGAAGAAAGAAAAGAAGAAAGUGCUUCUCCAUCUUCAUACUGUAGUUCUUGUCUGUAAAAUCUUAUAAACCUUUCUUCUUCUAAAAUAUCGAAGCCAUAUGGCUGAAAAUAGCCUUGGAAUUUUUGUAGAAAAAAACCCUUCAGAUUCAAAACUCUCAGAGCUUAACAUCAAGUGUUGGCCCAAGUAAGCUCCAUAUAUAUAAAUAAUCUCCAUUAUUUGGAAUAAAUAAUUUAAGAUUUUCUUCUUAAAAUUGAAUAACAGAUGGGGUUGUUCGCCUGGGAAAUACCAGCUGAAGUUCGAUGCUGAAGAAACAUGUUAUUUAUUGAAAGGGAAAGUUAGGGUUUACCCAAAAGCCUCAUCAUCAACAUCAACGGCCGAGAUGGUAGAGUUUGGAGCAGGAGAUCUUGUGAUUAUCCCAAAAGGUCUUAGUUGCAUUUGGGAUGUUUCCGUUGCUGUUGAUAAACACUAUCAAUUUCAGUCUUCUUCUUCAUCCUCUUGUGAUCACUAAUUAUAUAUAUCUCAUUAUUAUUUAUUCUCUCUCUCUCUAUAUAUAUAGAUAUAGAUAUAGACAUAUCUUCACUAAUUUUUGCUGUUGUUUUUCGAUUAAUUCUUUCAAAUUGGGAUUGAAAUUAAAUUAUAUAUUUGUAUAACAGUAAAAAUAUAAUUUUAUUUUUUAAUAAUUUAUAUUUUAUUUUUAAAAAAUUAAAUUAAAUUUUUAGUUCAAAUAUAAUUUUUUAUUAUUAAUUUAAAAUUUUAUAAAUUAAUAAAAAUACUUAAAUAGAAUAGGUUGUAUUUUUAUAGGCACCGCUAGUAGAAUUACAUUUUUCCAAUUUUUGGGUUUUAGUUUGGAUAUAAGGCGAAAUUAUUAUUAUUAUUAUUGCAUGUCCCAUCCAAAUUAAUCCUUUAUUUGUAUAUUUUAUUUAUUGCGUUUUCAAAUAUGCUUUAGAUGUAUUAUUACACCGGUCAACUCUUUAUAUAUACAUUUAUUGGGUUAAUAUAUAUUUCAACCCCUGAACUCAAUGGCACUUAAUUUUUCUUUUAUUUAGUCCUUAUCUAAACUUGAAACCAUUAAUUAAUAUAUAUUUUUUAAUUUAGUAGACAUAUCUUUUGUACUGAUAGUGAAUAAAAUAAUGAGGUGUGUCUUAAAAUUUUAAAAACUUAUAUAUUCUUUUAUAAAAAUUUAAAAAAGUAAAAAUAAUUUAAGGAAUAAUGAAUUUGAAUGCGUUUUUGUCCAUAGUCAUUUUAUAUUUUUUUUAAGUUUGGUGAUUUUUUUUUAAAAUUUUAUUUUAAAUUAUAUUACAUAAGAUUUAACAUCUUAUUUUAAAGUUUAAGAAUCAAUUUUAAUUUUUAUAUUUUUUUUGGAUUGUGAAAUUUUAAUCCUAUCUCAUGAUAACAGAUAAAUCCAUUUUAAUUAAAUUCUACUAUUAAUAUUAUUGCACGUAAAAUUAUAAAUUUAGUCCAUGUUCUUCAAUAUAAUCAUUAGUUCUCAUAUUUUUUCAAGUUCUGAAAUUCUAAUCUUGAUAUAAAUAAUAAUGAUUAAAUCCAUUAACAAGCUUUGCAAGUAACGUAUAAAAAUAACAAAUUAACAAGACAUUAUAUUUAUGAUAAUAUACUUGUCAUAUACAAUUUUAAUAAAUUUAACAGAUACGUUUGAAAUUUUAAAAAUAAAAACAUACAAAAAUUAAAAUGACUAAAUUAUAAUACAAAAAUUAUAUCUACAAUUUGUGCAAAAUAUCAAAAUUUAACCAAAACAAUAUCACUUUACUCGUAUAGGUAAGUCUAGGCAAACACCAUUAAAAUACUGAAACAGUUGUACUGUGAAUGUUAAAUCAUGUGAAAAAAGACAGAAGCAGUGUUACAAAAACAAAUGGGCUAAAAUAUUUACAAAAAAGAAAAAGCAAAAAGAAAAACUGUGCAAGCAAAAUUUGGCUGGGGGCAAAGAACAGUAAACCCACCAAACUAACAAUUUUUUAUGCUAAUUUGUAAAAUUUCUUGAAUGAAACAGAUGAUCUGCUACAGUAUAGACAAAAGGCUUCAAACUUUUAUUUUUCAAGUGGAAGUCUCUGCUGGUUGAAUCUUAUUGCUUUGGCUUGGUCCCCAUAUACGGAUUGUAUGAUCGUCACUAGCAGAUGCCAACAUCAGAGGCCGUUUAGGGUUCCAGCUGACACUAUUCACCGUCAUUGAAUGGCCAGAUAAUACCUCAAUUGGUGUGGAGCUUUGUCGAUUCCAGAUAUACACCUACCAAUAUUUGCAUAAUGUAUAAGCGAAUGAAUGAACUUGCCGAGGUCCAUGUGCAUAUAUACAUGAGUUAGACACGAAAAAAUAACAACAUCGGAGAUGACCCUGAAAAAAGAGGUCCUCUGUAAUCGGCAAAAUCAGUAUGUAUCACAAUUACAUAAGGAAAGGAGGCAUGCUAAGUGUUAAUGGGGAUUGACGCCACAGGUAGCGUAUCCCAGUAUCAGCUUCUUAGCGUAAGAUGAAGUGGAUGGAAUUGGAAGAUGUUAUUGGACUGGACUGGUUAUCAUAUGGCCGCCCGGAAUGCCAGAAAUGAUUAAUAAAUGCAAGGGUAAAAGUACUAUGGAGACCCUUGUACUAGGAGUCAAAUUAUAUUUUGCCCAUUUUACUCAAAAAAUGGGCAAAUUAAUAUACAUUAGAUUUAAGAGCAAACUGAUCUUUUUUGUUAAAAUCUCAUCCAAUUCUAUUGUUAAAAACUAGCAUGAUUAACAAAAUAACCAGACAGUUACAUAUGAAGUGCCACAUAUAUCACAUUCCGACACACAGGGACCAGUUUUUAACAAUAGAAAUGGAUGGAUUUUUUAACAGAAUGAUUAAUUUGUUCUUUGAUUUAUCAUACAAGGACUAAUUUGCCCAAUUUUUUUACUAGAGCGGGCAAAAUGCAAUUUGACUCCUAAUACAAGGACCUCCAUGGUAUUUUACCUAAAUGCAAGUGAUUCGAGAAAAGGUGUAAUAAAUUUACAACUAGCUAAACAUGAACAACAAUAUGAUUAUAUAGACAUAUAAGCAUUACCUGUGUGUUCUCACUGCCACUGGCAAUGAACAUGCUAUUGAUACCACCAAAGCAGGACCUUAUGACGUACUUGUUUUGCUUGUGUCCUGUGUACUUUAAAGGCUUUGCCCAUUUUCCGGCAACAUCUCUCAAAUGUAUCUCUUGGCUAUUUAGGUUGACAAUAAAGAACUUACUGUCGAUGGAAACAGAAAGAGAUGUGAUUGAAUGCUCCUCAAAGAUUACUUGCUCAGCAUUUGUCCUCAAAUUUAAUAUCCGAAUUUCUUUGUCAGAGAAUAUGCUGAUAAGGUUUUCACCAUCCGAUGUAACAGCAAGAUCCAAAACCUUGGGCAUCCUCAUGCCCCUCCAAGCUUUCAUCUCAUUCCCAUCACAGUCCCACAUGCAGAUGCCCUUUUCAGGGUCAGAACUGCCGCAAACAAUUCGCUUUGAGUCCGGAAACCAAGCACAUGAGCUGACAGUGAAGCCGUGGUCCCCAAAUGUAUGCUUGCAAGUGCCUGUUUCUACAUCCCACAGCUUGAGAACUUCCAAGUUUCCACAUGUGAGUAACUUUGUAUCGUCCGGGCUCCAAGCCACAAAGGAUACAGGGUUCUGAUGGCUUCUAAGCACGUGUUUCAUUGUCAGCUUAUCAUUAUCCAUGACCUAAGAAAUUCAGCGAGUGGAAAAAAAUCAAGUCAAACACUUCAGAAAAAAAGAAUCUUAGAGAGCAAGACCAAAAUCCAGUACCCGAAAAUUUUAAUAUAAAAUGUACAUAAAUAUUCAAGAUUAUAAUUAUGGUAAUUAUGUGUUCAACAUGAAAACAAGGUCCUCUGCUUAAACUUAGGAUAAUGUCUGGUGUAGAACAUUAAAUCUAGACACCCCAUGGUCGGCAUUAAAAGCCACUUAGAGCCACAUUUCUUAAGAGGGAAGUUUACCGGUGAAAAAAUCAAACAGGCUAAAUCGAAUCAAUAUUAAAGAACAGAACAAAAAGAACACAGCACGAGAAAGAGAACAUCAACAUCUGAUUGAUUUCAUUUCAUUUAUUUCGAGUUUGGGAAAGAGACAUUCAGGAAUUCGUACAAGAAAUUGGUCAUUUCUUGUUUGUUUCAGUUUUUAGAAUAACAACAAACUAGACCUUAUUUGCAAACCCCUCCCGACCAAAUAUAAAAAAGAAAAAGUGGGAAAAGGGAGGCAUUAAGAGUUAAGAUGCACCCCUAAUUGAGCCACUAUGUGUAACUCCUAUGAUGCUAUUCUAAUUUAUCAUAUCUCACUGACAACAUGUUACAACAAAAACAAUAUUCCAAAUCUUCUAGAUGAAGCAGCAGAGACACAUGCAUGCACAUAUUCUUAAAAAAAAAAAAGUGUGUAUCUGUCCAUAUGCAUAAGCAAAAAAGAAUGAAGUUAUACCUUCCAUAUAAUAGCUGUACAGUCACUUGAUGAAGAGGCUAAGUACUCUCCAUUAUUUGAAAAUUGAAUGAACCAAACUUCAUUGCUAUGUUCAGUCAAAAUCUGCAGUCAUAGGAAACAAAAGGGGCUACAAUACACCUUAAACAUUCAUGAUAAACAAGCCACAAUUUAGGCAGUUGAACAAGAAAAUUCAAAAAUUGCAUGUUCCUCCUGUAUAAAUCAGCACAAAGGGAAUGGAACAACUCGUUAAACAUUCUCAUCAUAAGGUGGGAGAAAUCAUCUUGAAGAAAGAUCAUGUAAGCUAUAUAUCAGGUUUUAGACUGAAAAUUUGGAAGAUAUUUUAGUGAAAGGCACACACUGAAGUUAUUAUUUUAAAAAAACUACUGAACAUAAUUUUCUUUAAGCUUUUUACUAAAGGGUGAUUCAACUUUCUAAUUUCAUGGUGUUGCAUAGCUCAAUGGUUUUCAUGCCCUGCCUCCAGCAAGCAUAAUAUGAAAUUCUAGAACUAUAAAAACAUAUUGUGAUGACUCCCUUCAUGUCAGCCAAAGAAAAAUAGCAUGAAUUGAGAGGAAGUUGUACUAAUAAUGUAUUAAAAAAGAUAAGAUCAUCCAUGAACUGACAGGAAAUAUAAACAUAAAAGGAGUUUUUGUUCCGUGAAAGUAUAAGCAAGUUUUACAACAUGAUGAGGGCAAGACUUCUACCACACAAGUCAGCUAUAUAAUUCAUAUUGCAAAAUUAUGUUUUAUUUAGUUUAUCUCUAUUGUUCCUGCAUACCAUAAAAAAAAAAGAACUUUAAAUUUCUUAUUUGGUGCAAAAUGAUAAAUGGAAAUCUGGACAAACUUUUUCCACCGCUCCAAGCCAUUGGCUUCAUUGAAUACAAGCAAAUAUUGUCUUGAUAUGUGGGUUCAAAUUGACAAAGAACAUUCUCAGUAAAAAUAAACAAGUUAUGAAUAACAACAUGGAAAUUCAUCACCACCUCAUAGUUUAUACCAAGAUGAGCGAAUGAAGAUUAAGUAGCAUUAGAUGGAUGCAGGAGGCUGAAAUUACAUCAUUUGAAGGCGGCAAGGCGCUUCAUUUUAGUAUUUAGGAACUUGAACCCUAGCAUUUGUUCCACCAAAUCAGAAGUUUAUUGUGGCAACAUUAUUGAAAAUGUAGAUAGACAGUAAAUAAAAAAAUAGAAAUGCUAAAUGUGAGGAACAAACAAAUGGUUGGUGUUCGAAAACACAAGAUAAAAUGUAGAAAAUAUCAUAUUAAAACUGAAAACAUUGUGUUCAUAAAGGCCUAUGUUCAUUUUAUAAACUAUGAUUUAUCGUAUGAAUAACAGUAUUGACUGCAACAAGAAGCACACCUGAACUGUUUCUGUAGGUAUCUGAUCUCUGCCGCAGCAAUGAUCUUCAUAAAGCAAGACUGCGUCCUGGGAAUUAUGAUAUAUACAUGAAUCAAUUUGAGCUGUUACACUAGUUUCAACUAGAUGUUCCAAACGUCUCUCAGGCAAUACAAUUGGCGGAGGAAGCUGUUUCCCUAGCUCCAUCACUAACCUUUUUCGCAGUUCACUAAUAACAUCUUCAUCUAGCUUACCCAACUCCAUCUCUUUCAAUGCAAGUAUACUAUAAGCUAAUUUAUGAACUGUUUCGUUGCUCAUAUGUAAAGUGGGAACCCGUUUUUGCAAAACUGACAAAGCCAAAGAAUCAUCACCUCGAUUCAAAUACUCCAAAAAACACUGCUUGAACACAAGAAACAAAACUGAAGAUCGUGUAUCAUCCUUCACAUCCUUAAUUUUAUUCAAGGUAUCAAUACAAUCAUCCCAAUCGCCACUAAGGAUUUGCGAUUCCAACAAAUCAAAUUCUAUGGAUUCGUACCUAACACCGGACUCUAUUUCCAAACAAGAAGCAGACUUUUUGUAUCCAAGAGAGUAUAAGCAUUGAAUUAUAACUCUUAAAAAUUCAUGCUUAUUUAUUAAACCUUUAGAGCCUAGCGUGGUAGGCGAAUUCUCCAUCGAGCUGUGUUAAGGGAAACUUUAAACUGUUUGGAUAAACCGUCUUGCCUUCUAAAAUCAAAGAUGCCCAUUUCUUUCACUUGCCAUCAGUUUCCUAUAUCAUAAAUAAAAUCCAAUUAGUCGAAAAAUCAUUCAAGAAAAAUCUCAAAUCCCCAUGACAAAUACAUAAAUAAAUAACACAAUUAUUGUAACAAGGUUGAAGACCUAGAAACCAAAUAGAGGAAACUAUAUAAAGUAAUUCAAAUGUUGAAUUAAUGUUUAUUAUAGAAGAAGAAAUCCAGUUCUGAACAUACGCAAAAUUUGCCAAAGGAAGAAAACUAAAAUCAAGAAGCAAAGAAGCAAAUACUUUCCAAAGCAAUAAGUUGAACUUUCGGAAAAUAAAAAGCUUCCAUAAACAAAAGACAAAGAACCCAAUUUAUUUUCUUUCUUUAUCAAAUCUUACAAAUAAUAACAACAACCAAAUUAAUUAAAAAAGGGGGAAAUCCACAAAUUCAUUCAAUUCAAUAAACCAACUUAAAAAACUACUCAUUGAAUUAACUACCCAAAACCGAAAAAAAUUACAACCCAACAAGAUUAAUAUCAAAAAGAAAAAUAAAAGAAUCAUUAAAUAGUAAUUCAUUCAAUUAAAAGAUCAAUAAAAUGCUAAGUUGUACGUACAGAGAAUGAAUAGUUCCCCAACUGUGACGAAAGCAAUAAGAAGCAAAAAAAAAAAAAACACGAAAUAGAAAAAUGAGGUGAAGGGUGUUAGGGGGGAAAGGGGAGAGGGUUUAGCAGCGGUUAUUUUGAAGGGACUGACGACAGAGAUUUGUUGAAAAAUAAAUAUUAGUACAUAAAUUUUUAUAUUAUGAAAAAAGAAAUGUGGCGAAGAUGAAAGAACGAAGCAAGUGAUUUUUUUUUCCCGAUCUGCUAAAGCGUUGACGUUUUGUAGUGAUUAAACGACGCCGUUGGUAGUGGGGGGUUUUUACCGUUUACUUGUGUGAAUGGAAUUUUGGUCUAACGUCUCUCUUUUAUUUCUUAUUGUUUUUCUUUUUUAAUUAUUUUUUAGUAUAACAACAAAUUCAAUUCAUAAUUUUAAACUCUUUUUUCUUUUACUUAAUUUUCAUUUUUUAUCACUUCAAAAUUUUGGGGACAAAAAAAGUCGUAUUAAUUAUUAAAAUUUUAACCAUAUUAAUGUGACAAUAAUAGUCUAUGUAUAUUUCAUUGUCGAUGUGGGUAAUUUUUAAAAAUCAUUUUUUUAAUUUUAUUGAAUUUUUAAAUAAAUUUAAUAUUUUUAAAUUUUUUAUAAAGUAUAUAUGAAUUAUUAUGUAAAUUUUCAUGUCAUUGAUAUUAAACUUUUAACAAUUUGGUCAACUUUUUCACUGAAGAUUAAAGGAUAGAGUAAUGAAAAAAAAAAUAGGGUUAGACCUAAAAAUUUUGUUUGGAAGGUCAAGGUAAAAUUCUAAAAAAAUUUAGAAAAUUCUAAAAAAAUUUAGACAAACAAAGCUAGAAAUUGUAUUCUAAAAAUACUUAGAUUAUUUAAUUAAUUUUUAAAAAGGCUCAAAUUUACGUAUUUUUUAUUUAUUUGAAUGAUUGAAAGGUAUUGAAUAAAAUAAAUGAUUAAUACUUGACUAUUUUCCCAUUUGAGAAAGGAAGCUAAAAUCUCUGCUUGCCCCUUUCAUCUCUGGGUCAAAGUGACAAAAAUAAUAAAUAUUAGGGUUAAAUUUCUUGUUAUAUCUUAAUUUUAUUAUAUAAGGUUUUUUUUUUCUUUUUGAAAGCAAAGUUUGAAUGUUUUUUAUUUACUUUUUUUUCAUACGAGUAUAACAUCACGAUUUCUCGUCUUUGUUUUUUGAUAUAAUGUUUGAAACUUUACUUAUAAUUCAUCCCUAACCCUUAAAUAAGAGGAUAAUGCGUUUCAAUUAGAGGUGUGCAUGGGCCAGGCCGGGCCGUAAGGUGUUGGGUUAAGUCCCGCAACGAGCGCAACCCUCGUGUUUAGUUGCCACCGUUGAGUUUGGAACCUUGAGCAGACUGCCGGUGAUAAGCCAGAGGAAGGUGAGGAUGACGUCAAGUCAUCAUGCCCCUUAUGCCCUGGGCGACACACGUGCUACAAUGGACGGGACAAAGGGUCGCGAUCCCGCGAGGGUGAGCUAACUCCAAAAACCCGUCCUCAGUUCAGAUUGCAGGCUGCAACUCUAUAACAGCCUAAUUUUCAGUGGUAUCGGAAAUAGAGAUUUAAGAUCACCAAAUCUGACGGGUGAGUUAAAAAAUUAAUAAAUUAAUACCUAUGAGUCAAAUGCGAAUAUAAAAGCAUUUUUGAAUUAGUGAAUUUGGUGAUUUAAAAGAAUUAAUUAGGUAAAUUGGGUCGAGAAUGAGGUAUCGAGACCUCAACUUCAUAAAUCGAGCCAUAAAUAUUUUUAGAAAUAUUUAUGGAGUGUUGGUGAGGUAGUAUUAAAAUUUAGUCAGAAAAUUUUUACGUUUGGGUGGUUAAUUAAAUAAAAAGAACUAAAUUGAAAAGGGUGUAAAAGUUGCUAGAAAGAUUAAAUAGCUCAAUUGUCAAAUGAGGAAGGACCUAAAGUGAAAAUAGUCCUAAAGGAGAUAUUUUGGGCGGCAAUAGCCGAGAAAAAUCAGGAAAUGGAUGAAAUAAGGGCAAAAUUGGAAAAUUGCCAAAAUUGGCUAAAUAAAAAUGGGACUAAAUUGGAAUAUCUAGAAUUCUCUUCAUUUCUCUUCAUAUUCAUCAGCUGAAAAACAGCCAUGGAAGAGGGUUCAAGCUGGUUUUCAUACUCUAGCUUCAUGUAAGUUUAAUUCUUGCUUUCUCCUUGAAAUUUGUAUGUUUUUAUGACUUUUACAACUAGGUCCACUUGUUGAAUUCAUUAGUUUUUGAUUCUAUGAAAGAAAUUGAAAGUUGUUAUGAAUAUGUGCUGGAAGUAUAUGAUGAUUUGGCAUGGAAUUAGAGCUUUAAAUUAUUUAUAUGCUAAUUUUAUUGAAAGAAUUGAAUAGAAAGUAAAUGUUUGGGACCUAAUUGUAAAAGAGUUUGAAGUUAAAGUUUCAUAUGGAAAUUCUGAAUUUCAAUAGUUAUGAAAUAACUUAUAAUGUCUAGAAAAAGUGUUAAUUGAGAAAAUUAUCUUAAUUGAGGGGUUAAUUGAGCAAGGACUGAAUUCUAUGAAUUGUGAAAUUUGAGGCAAAAUGGAAAUAAACAUUUUGCACUAAAACUAUUUUAGACAGCAGCAGUAGUCUAACUUUGAAAAAUCACUAAAAAUUAUAUAAAUCGAAUUAGAGAAUGAAUAAAAUAUGAAAUUAAAUCUUAUUGAGUCUAGUUUCUUAUGAAAGAAAUUAUGUAAGCAAUGGAAUUGUAAAUCAUCAGAUACAAUAACUUUUGUGAGACAAGGUCAGAAUGAUUUCGAGUUCCCCUGUUCUGACUUUGGAAAAUCAUAAAAAAAAUUGGAUAAAAAUAAUUAGGGACUUAAAUUUAUAUUUUUAGAAUCCUGAAUGAGUCUAUUUUCAAGAGAAACAAACGAGGACAUCAUUCGAAUCCUGUACAAGAAGAUAAUUAAUUUUUAGUGAAGAAUGGUCGGAACUGUCAGACAGCAGAACAGGGGAGACUUCAAUGAAUAAACUGUAUUAAUUGACCCAACCAAAAAUUAUGAAAUUUUUAUGGUAAGAAGGUAUAUGAGUCUAGUUUCAGAGAAAAUUAGCGGAUCUUAUUUUGGAGUUCUGUAGCUCAAGAUAAAAAUAAUUUAGUGACUAUGACACAUAUGGACAACUUGAAUAUUCACAUAAGUAGAUAAUGAAAAUUAUGGAUAAUGUUACUUACAAGUGUGUUGUUUAUACUAAGGAUGUGGAUGGAGAGGAGGAGGAGGAAAAAUAUACAUAUAUAUGAAUGACUCGUGUAUAAAUUGAUCACAUGCCCGGUUAUAAUCGAUGAGUGUUGGAUUAGAAAUUAUAUAAUGUUUUAUUUGGAAUAUUUAUUAUGAAAUUAUGAUUAUCGUUAUAAUACAAAAAUUGAACUUGUGAGUUUAUAUGGCUAAAUUUUAGUGAUUAUUUGUUAAUUUUAUGAAUUUUAUGAUGAGUUAUUUCAUAUGUAUUGAUGAUAAAAUCGUGAAUAAUGUAAAAGCAUGAAAAUUGAAUAAAUGAUCAAAUUGAGCAUUUCAGUUCAGUGACAAGAUGAAUUGAAGGAAAAGAACAUGGUUGGACCAUGGAAACAAGUGAUAAGUGAUAGCUUCGGCUACACUUAUCUGAUUAAGGACAAGUGAAAGUGAUAAGUGAUAGCUUCAGCUACACUUAUCUGAUCAAUGGCAAAUGACAACUGAAAAGUGGUAGCUUCAGCUACCUGAUCAGUGAAAAGUGGUAGCUUCGGCUACCUGAUCAGUGAAAAGUGGUAGCUCCGGCUACCUGAUCAGUGAAAAAUGGUAGCACCAGCUACCUGAUCAGUGAAAAGUGGUAGCUCCGGCUACCUGAUCAGUGAAAAAUUGUAGCACCAGCUACCUGAUCAGUGAAUAGUGAAUAGUGGUAGCUUUGGCUACAAAUGACAAGUGACAAGUGACAAGUGAUUUCUGUAUAAGACCAUAUCUGGGAUAUGGCAUCGGUGUGAUAUAUGCUACUGUAUAAGACCAUAUCUGGGAUAUGACAUCAGUGAGAUAUGUGAUUACGUGUAAGACCAUAGUUGGGCUAUGGCAUCAUUAUGCAAAGGUGUGUAAGACCAUAGUUGAACUAUAGCAUAGAAAAAAAAAAACGAAGUACUCAAUUCCGUAAGAUGUUCACUAAUUUGAAGAAGUUUGGUAAGUAUUACAUGGAAUUAUGUGACAUAAGGAAAUACGAGUUGAUGAGACAUGAGCAUAAAACUUGGUUGAUGGAUGAAUUCAUUUGUGAUUAUAUAUUUCUACGCCUUGAGUGUAUUAUCCGUAUGAAUUGGUAUUCCAAAUGAGUUAAUGAGAAAACUUCUAGUAUGAAAUAAUCUGAGUUCGAAAUGAAAUAUCAUGAAAACGUACUUGAAAUACAUUGGUAUGUAUUGUAUAUGCUAUUUUAAUUCAUAAAUGUGAAAAGCAAAUGUAUGUGGAAAUAUAAGAUGAUGAUAUUUGUACAUGGAAUUUAUUGAUGAAUACGUACAUCAAAAUUUAUAUGAUAAAUUUUAGUGAACAUUGAAAUUGGGCUCAAAAAGUGAUUUGGAAAUUUAAAUCGUAAUUGGUAGGAAUAGUUAAUGAAUUGCAUAUUUAUGAAUUGUUACACGUAUUUGUCUGAAAUACGAGGAAGUGAUGGUAAUUGAUGCAUGGAAAUAUGAAACUAUGAUAUAUAUAAAAACAUGGAAUAUGUUUGAUAAAUGUGUUCAUUCAUAAUUAUAGAAUUAUGUACCUCAUGUGUGCUAUUUGCAUAAAGAUGAUAUUUCAAAUACUUUAGUGAAUAAAGCUUAAAUAUGAAAUAGUAUGAGAUCGAAACAAAUUGUUAUGAAAAUGUAUUUAAAUUAUCUGUAAGUGUUUCGUGCUUCUCGGUAAUGCCUCGUACUCUAUUCCGGCGACAGAUACGGGUAGGGGGUGUUACAAACUCGCCUGCAUGAAGCCGGAAUCGCUAGUAAUCGUCGGUCAGCCAUACGGCGGUGAAUUCGUUCCCGGGCCACACCGCCCGUCACACUAUGGGAGCUGGCCAUGCCCGAAGUCGUUACCUUAACCGCAAGGAGGGGGAUGCCGAAGGCAGGGCUAGUGACUGGAGUGAAGUCGUAACAAGGUAGCCGCCCG